ACCCUUUAACCUUCACGUCACUUAUUUAUUGCUUGUUAUAAAUAGCAUAAAUGCUUAUAGUCUCAAGAAUAUCUCAUCUCCGAGUUGACGAUGAAACGUGAACGUACGAAAAUGUAAGAUGUAAUGGUAAUGUCAAAUGUGACUUGUGCAAAAUUUGAGGUCAAUUAGACAUAAUUUGAUAGGUUUCGGCAUUGGUUGUUGAAGUUGAAGUUUCAAAGUUCAUUAAUUUUGACUUGAGGUACGAUACGUUGUUUCGAGGUUGUUAUGCGUGAUUUAAAGCCUCGAGUAGGUUCGUUUCGUCAUACAGGACUUGUCUGCAUAAUUUGGUGCCAUUUGGAGUUGAUUUGAUAUGGUUCAGACGCUUGGUUGUGAUUUUAGAAGUUCUUGAAGUUUAAUUUGAUCUUCAUGCGUUUUGGCAUAUGAUUCGUGCUUUUAGAGAUUAUUUUGGUGAUUUGAUCAUACGAGCGAGUUCGUAUUGUGUUUCUGGACCUGGGUGCAUGGUUGGUUUGGAGCCUCGGGGGCUUGGGUGAGUUUUGGAUUGGUUACGAAAUAAUUUAUCAUGAUUUUUGAGUGCUGGUACUGGUGACAUCGCAUUUGAGAUAUUUUUGUCGCAAAUGUGACCAACGCAAUUACGAAGCAGUCUCGCAUUUAUGAAGUUGGGCUGCUAAGGCAGACUUUGCAUUUGCGAAGGUAGUUCUAGCAUUUGCGAGUGUUGGCUAUUCGCAUUUGCGAUACUUUGGUUGCAAAUGUGACCUCAACAUGAAUUCUUCUAGUUUUCUUUUGCGAUGAGUUGUUUGGAUUUGCGGAGUUCGCGUCGCAAAUGCGACAUCUGACGCCUGUAUAUAGUUGUGAAUUCCGAGACUUAGCUUUAGUUUGUUAUAUUUUGAUCCCUAGGUUCGAUGGAAGGUUAUUUUGUAAAGGGAUUUUCAUACCAAAUUAUUGGGUAAGUACCUCUUAUCAAUUCUCAGUAAUAUUUCAUGAUUAUACAUAAGAUUUAACAUCUAGUUCAUGUGAAUCUAGGGAAAAAUUUGGGGAUUUUGUCAAUGUUUUAAAAAAUGAAAAUUUGGGAUUUGAACUCGGAUUUGGAAACAAACCACGUAUUUGGACUCGUAAGGUUAUGGGUAGUCAAGACCUACCCUUUGACCUAGAUUUUGAUCGGGCAAGCUUGGGGGUUGACUUUUGUUGACUUUUUAGAAAUUGUAUAAAGAUCAUAGCUUUAUUAAUUGAAAAUGUUUUCUCUUGCAUUGUGUGAUUUAUUUAAGUCAUCUUUGGCUAGAUUGAGCCGAGCAAAGGUGAAUUUGUAAAAGAAAAAGCUAAAUUGAGUAUUGAGUUAGCCGAAUUGAGGUAAGUGUCUUGCCUAACUUUGUUGAGGGAAUUUUUCCUACUAUUUGACUUUGUCUGCUACAUGCGGGGGUGAUACAUAUAUGAGGUGACGAGCAUAUAUGCAUGUGCUAGGGUUAACCACUGGGGGUAAAAUAUGUAAUGAAUUAUGUCUUGUAGAAUUACGUGACCUUCUUGCUUCAUGCCUUACUUGACUCCUAGAUACUAAGAACAUAGUAUUAAAUGUGAGAAACUAAGGCUUAGCUUAUUAUAACUUGAUCAAAUUUGAUGGAAUUCUGAGAAUACAUUGAUGUGUCUAAUUCGGUCAUCACUAUGCUUAAUCAUUAAUAUAUUGUUACGGCCGAUAUUUUUGAGAUACUAGAUUCUAUACUCGUGUUGCAGAUCAUUCAUGAGAUUUGUUGAAAUACUUGAAUAAUAAGGUUCUUGUGGGUUUAUUGAACUAUUAUCGGUUUCGAAAGUUGUGAUUGAGAUUCAUUUGGAAUAUUCAUUUAAACACUCUCCUUGAUGUUAUCUAUGUUUCCUACCUUAUUUGCCAUUGAUAUACAUAUGCUUGGUAAGGAAGAGUGUAAAGCACGAAGGGUGAUGUUGUCUAUGUUAUGAGAGUGUAACGCAUGAAGGGUGACGUCGUGCCAUGUUAUGUGAGUGUCAAGCACGAAGGGUGAUGUCGUGCCGUAUCAUUGAGUGUGAAGCACGAAGCAUGAUGACGUGCUAUGUUAUGUGAGUGUAAAACAAAAGUGUGAUUCAGUGCCAUAUCAUUGAGAGUAAAAGCACGAAGGGUGAUUCCGCGCCAUUCAUUUGAGAGUAAAAGCACGAAGGGUGAUGUCGUUCCAUUCAUUUGAGAGUAAAUGCAUGAAGGGUGAUGCCGUGCCAUUUCAUUUAUAUUGUCAUGCUUUUAUAUUAUCGUGCGUCCAUGACACGAUGGGUGUUUUCGUGCAGGUGAGGAUGGUGGACAUACAUUAUGUUGUGAUAUCUGUUCCCCGUGUAUACGUUCAUACUUUUACCUUAAGAUGUUAUUGUCGUGCUUAUAGAUCUUAUUUAACUUGUUGUUAUGUUCUGUCUGUGAUCUAUAUCUCAAUUGUUAUUGUGUUGAUCAUACCUUCUACUUGCUUAACUUGCAAAUACCAUGCCUACUUCCUGCUAUUAUAAUUACAUUCAUGUCGUAUCUAUUCUGUUACUCUUUAAUACAAUCCUUUUUUCCAUGUUAGUCAUUCAUGCCUCUACUUGUUAACUAUUAAAGAUCAUGUAUUUCCUUCUUAUAUGUUAUACCUAUAUCUAGGCCUCCACCAUGCUAGUUAGUUGAAGUUGAUAUUCUGUGUCUUUCAAUUGUUGUCAUUACACAUAUGCCUUGUACCUAGUCUAUUAUUAUUGCCCACAUGUAUAUCCUUGUUCAUUAUUGCUUCUUGCGUAUUUCCUACAUUGUAAUCCCUAUUAUCGGUAUUUCUGUCAUCCUAUUAGUAUUGUUAUACGUAUAUUGGGUGAGCAUGAGAUAGAAGCACGAAGGAUGUUGCCGUGUAAUUGACUUGAUAUCUGAGUACAUUCCUCAUGCUAUAAAAGUUAUAGUGUUAAUGUUGUGGUUUAUUGGUUUUCGUUCGAAGGGAAAGAUUGGCCGAGGUAUUGGAAGUUACUAAAUUGUUGUCUCUACUAGUAGUCAAUUAUUGUUUUGCAUACUCGUUUGAUGUAUUCUUUUCUGUUAUAUCGUGGUAUAGUUCUAUUGCUGAUUUACGGUGCAGGUUUUAUCAGUGAGUGUCUUUUAACUAAAAAGCCUCAUCACUACUUCGACGAGGUUAGACAAGAUACUUACUAGGUACAUGGGGUCGGUUGUACUUAUACUACACUUAUGCCCUUGCGUGCAGAUUUUUGGAGCGGAGCUACUGGUGAUGUUGGGAGCUGACUCUGAAGAUGUUUGUGCAUUUCAGAUAUUGUUUCCACUUGUCCUUGGUAGCUUUAGGUUUUGCUAAUCUGUUUAUGUAACUUUCAAACAGAUCGUGUAAUUAUUUGUAUCAGCUUUGUAAAUUCUCUAUCUUAGAAGCUCGUGAUUCGUACUACUAGUUCUUGGGUUAAUUUGUUAAUGUUCAGAUAAUUCUUCACUAUUUUCCGAUAAUCACAUUUGGAUUGUAUCGACUGUUAGUUGGAUUACCUAGCGGAUCGAGUAGCCAUCACGAUUAGUGGUUUUUGGGUUGUGACAAGUUGGUAUCAUAGCUCUAGUUCAUAGGUUCUACGUGUAUAUGAGCAAGUGUCUAGCAGAGUCUUGCGGAUCAGAAUGAUGAUGUCUAUACCUAUCUUCGAGAGGUUACAGGACAUUUAGGAUAAACUUUCUAUCUUUCUCCUUAUCUUGUGGCAUUGAUUCAGCGUGAAGCAUAACCCUUUGAAUUUCUUCCAUGCAUUCAUAUGCGCAUCUAAGUGCUCGGUAUCUGCUAUACAUUGACGGCUUGUGAUUCCAUGGAUGAGGUGCGAGAUGUGAUUUAUGUGUGUUGAUGAUGGGUCGGUCUAGGGGACUUGAGGCUGGGUUUCGACUGCAGCUUGAGAGCUGGAAUUUUGGUUGUGUGUGCAUGUGCUUUUGGACUUAUACAUCCGGUGGUGUUCCUAUGAGUGGAAUUUGUGGUCGACGACUGGUUGGAUGAUUAAAUGAUGAGUAGGAUGUGACUGCCAGCUAUGUUCAAAUGAUUUUAGUACCAAGUUAUAAGAGUGUUGAAAUAUUUUCCAUGUUGUUUAGUUGUGGAACGAAUUUGAUUCUCAUGCCUUAUUGAUGAGUUCAGACCUAGGUAGAUUAAGUGGUGUCAUAGUAGUUGUGGCUAGAAUAUAAUAUUUACAUGUGUUGAGACUCACAAUAUUUCUAUAUCAUUGUGGAUUAAGCAUUUUAGUUUCAGGAAGGGGGAGGAAACGACUUUAGAUUCACAGAAGGUCUCUUCAGAGUUGGCAUCUCAGUUGUGGUACUUUGAUGUGCUAAUAAGGAGUACAAUAGCUUAUAGGCCUUAGGGUAGUGUGGUUUUUAUGCUAGAAUCUCUUAUCGCAAGCUUCAAGGUAAGCAUCAUGGUGUUCUCGCAAAGAGGGGUAUCAACUUGAGGUUAAUUUGGAUGGAACUCGGAGAAAAAUAGGGCAAUUUGAUAGUAAGUUGGAUCAACACGGAAAUGGUGUAAUCGGAUCUUUGGAUACUUAUGAUAGGGUAGUUGUGUUAGAGGGUUCUGAUAGCUUGGUUAUGUAAAAAUGGAUUCCAAGGAGUUCUCGAUGAUUUCUAUCACGAUUCGAGGUGGAUAUUUCCUACUGGUGUGAGGAACAUGUCGCGUAUUGGGAUUUCCUCCUGGAUGAGAUCAAAUAGAAGGUUUUUGAUUGAUCGAGAUUGAGUUUUGCUUGUGCAAGGUCACGUUUCAGUUUUGGAGGGAAGGUCAUGAAUUCUUAGAUAGCACGGAUGGUUUCAGAUGUCUAGAUGGAUGCUAUUACUACUUGGUAUUGCCUGAGAAAGGUGUGCAUUUCAGAAGGCGCAUUGAGUUUUGACUUACGGAUGCUUUAUUGAUAUUGCGGUGAUCACCUAGUUAAUCGAUUGCUGAGAUUCAUAUUUUGUUAUGUGGCACGGAGGAAUUAUAGAAGUAUUCCUAGUGCGAUGAUCGUAUACGAGAGAUGUGUAGAUAUUUGGGCGGUGGAGUUGGGAUCAGGUAGGGUGAUUCAUGUGUUCUAUGGAUUUGGAGACUCGGAAUUCUCAGAAGUAGAUUUUUUCGUGAUUGUGGACUGUGAAAUAUGGCCAAAGCUAUCUAGAUGAUAGUAUGUGUUAUGGUUAUGUUGUUGUAGUCAUUUAGAGGGCUAUUUGUCCAUUCAUGGAUGAUCGAAGUUAAUUUGGGGGCCCAUUGGUAGGCGCAAUAAGGGGCUAUUACCACAUGUAUAUCGUUGGGUGGAAUAGAUGCUAUUCACACCUUAGUAUAUGUUAUAUGUUCACCAGCCCAUACUGAUUUCUAGUACUUUGGGGUCUAACUUUUCCUUCUGGUAGUCGCAUUGGAGUCGCGAACUUAUUUAUCGAAAUAAGGAUACAACUUUAUGGCCUAUACUCUUAUGUUGUCUCAAGGCCUGACACUUCUCAUCUUUUCCUUCCCUUGACCAUAGACUAUGUAAUACUCAUUUCAUCAUUUUUUUUCUACCGUUGUCAUCGAGGUAUCACAUCUUACUCAUAAUGCUUCAUUAAUUCUCUUCUUAUUUCCCGCUAACAUUAAUGUCCAUCACUAUAUUUUGAAAACUCGAACAAGAUAUUCUUUUGCUCUUAGCUCCCUUAGGAUCAUUUACAUACUUCUCACACUACCCACAUGUUCUAUUCAAACUUACAUAUCACUUAUCAAUUCAAUGUUUCUUUGGAGGUCAUAAUCAUUUUUAACACUUUCUCGAAUAAGGUAUGCUUCUGGUACUAUGUACGUACCUCAUAUAUUCGUACAAUUUGUUCAACAUGAUACAUGUGCCAUCUUCUUAAUAUUCAGGCCUUUGCAUAUUAGUCAUUCCAUAUGACAACAUUACUUGAAUUAGACGAAAGAGCGUUUAAAAUUACCAUGAAUCUCAACGCACGAGUUAGAAGACAAUCUCAUAGUCAAGCUUUAUUGCACGAUCUGCAGUGUUGAAGAAGGGUAACAUUCCUAAAUUCCCAUGUAGCCUCCAAAUUAUAGAUGUGGUCGAUAACACACCGAUGAGAAGGACUCUACAAGAUACGGCUCUGAGACAUUCUAGGACACUUUAAAACCAUAGGCUCUGAUACCAAGUUUGCCACGCCCCAAAAACCGAGGAGCGCGACCGGCGCUCAACCGGGUAGCCCCCAGCCAAGCGGACCUGUGUGCCUUUCCUAUUCCACGUGAUACCCUGUGUUUCCAUUACCCAUUAAUCAAGUAAAAUAGACAUUUAUAAAUUUAAACACAUUCUUACGAGAUUUACAUAACAUACAUAGUUACUUAGCGUGGUUUACAAGUUAUACUGCCCAAAAUACAUAAGUACAUAACCCACAUUUCCUGUCUACUGAGCCUCUAGAGAUACAGAAGAGUGUUAUAAUACUUGCCGGUAACAAGGCUCCGGCUAUACCUUACGCAAAUACCAAAAUAAAAUUUUUGGGAGGAUAAGCGGCAUGAGCCACGCAGGGCCCCGAGAGGAAAAGGACUCACCAAUUCAGCUUACGGGAGGUGAAGGAGUGCUACUGUCGGUGGGCUUGAGUACCUGUUAUGGAACCACCUACAAUCAUAACACGAAUGUAGCGCCCCCAGCAAAAGGGACGUCAAUACAUUUGAAUUGUACUAGUAUGUAUGAACAAACUAUACCCCAAGUAAAAUCAUGAAAUACACAGAUAACAAACAUUAAUAGAAUCAACAAUCAAAUGCACAUGAAAGGAACAACCAAAGCCAAAAAACUCCACAAUCUCUCCUUUUCCACUUUCAACAUUAUUUCAUCACAUCAAUGAUUUCACAACUUUCACAUAUUUUUAUUUCAAUAGUGAUUUUGAUCACUUUUCCAGCCUUAUUACCUCGGCCACCCUUAUCACCACAACCCACACCUUAUAACUUCGUGUUGCGGCGAGCAACCCGAUCCUACCGGACAAUUAUAUUUCACAUAAUAACAGUAGUUCACAGUUCAAUCACAUGGCUUCAGGCCAUCCAGAAUAUCAUUUCACAACGGCAACAGUUCACAAGAAUUUUCAUAAACAUCAAUACCAAUUCCAUCAUAUACAAUAACCCGUAUACAAUUCAAGUCACAACGAUAACUGCCCACAACAAGUCACAUAUGAUAUUACCACCGUUAUUUCAAUUGCAUCAAUUAUGAUUUCUUUUACACACACUUGGUUUGUUGCCAUUUAUUUACACCACUAUACACAUUCCCACGUUUGGACACAUUAAGAUUCUUUCAUCCGUUAACACAUACUUCCAUGUCGACAUCCUCAAGCAUUUACAAACUUUGCACAUAAUGAGAUAGGCACAUCAAAUCAUUUCUCACAAUCACAUAUAACUUGGUGGUAUGGAAAUCAACUAAGUCAAUCAAUUCACAUAUUUUCAUAAAAGGUACACAUACUGUAUGCUCAUCAUAACAAGGGGAUUCUACAAGAGUUAAAGUUAGCCAUACAUACCUCAAAGAGCUUUUUCUUAAGUUACUACAACGUUCCGGAAAUUCUAGCCAUGCCCAUCUACUUCGAGACAUAACAAAAUUUAACACAAAUUAGGAAGAUAUUCAUAAUUCUAGCUCAUUUGAGAACUUUAUCAAAUACUAGUUGAGCAUCUUGAUUUCUAAUCUCUUUUACAAGAUUUCCUUCAUUCCCUAACACAAUCUUUACUUAUUUAUGUUCAAUAAUCUUCCCAUAAACCUAAGUUGUACAUGCAUGUAAACAUAAUACUAAUACACCCAAGAAUUAUACCUCAAUAUCCCAUCUUAUACUCCAAACUCGAAAUUAAAGUCUAGGGUAUAGAAUCUUACCUCUUAAAUGAAGAAAUUGUGAUUGGGUUCUUUGAUUCUUGAAGAUUGAUGCAAGAUUUGGAUGAUUUAAAUGUUGGGUUCCUCCUUAUCUCUCUAAAAUGCUCUCACCUCUCUCUAAAAUCAGUAGAAAAUGACCCUAAAUGAAGCCCUAAAGGCUAUAUAUUAAAAUGGGGUCGAGUUAUAAAAAUUAGAAAAUUAACCCUCCGAUGUCAAGUAUGCGAUCGCAUAAUCCACCGCAGAAUGGGUAUGCGGGCUGCAGAUUCAUUGCAGAACUCGUUGCCCAGAACAGGGUUGUUCUGCUUCAUUCUGCGACCAUUCUGGAUCGCAGAAUGGUUUUGUGGUCUGCAGAGUUAAAUCUGCGAUCGAAGAUUUCACCGCAGAAUCGCAUUUUUCUAGCCUUUGGUAAUUUGAUCAUAACUUUGUGUACGAAUGUCCAAAUGAUGAACGGUUUGAAGCGUUGGAAACUAUACUCGAAGAGCUUUCAUAUGAUAGGUUGUUCAUAACAUAAACCCUUAUAUAUACUUAUAUAGGCUUGUUCAAAGUGGUGGCUUGUGCGAACUCAUUUGAAAUCUUAGCCUAUUAUGAACUUUUCCAAUUUUCCUUAGACUUAGGCCUUUCCUUGGACCCCAAAUUACUUACCAUAAGACUUGUACACAUAUUUACCAAAUCCAAUUGAUGCCCAUCAUGUUAAUAACACAUAAAAUAGUUUAAUAAGCCUACAUGGCACCACAAAAUCCUAGGUUGCUUAGCGAAAUUUUUCGGGGCCUUACAAGAACCAUGCUCAAAACAUCAUUGUACGCCGGAGCAAAACCGGCAAGGGCCAUAGAACCUUGGAUCUGUAGAGAUCUUAACGGACACCUUCGAGGUCAAACCUAGGACCUUCGAAUACCAAGUGUUUGAGAGCAGAGGGAGAUGAGUUUAGGCCAUCCAUGGCUUGAGAUGCCAUGGAUUUCGGUGAUCUUGAGGUAGAAGACAGUGAGAGAGGCUAGGGUUUCGAGAGAGUUUGAGAGGAGAGGGAUUUCAGAGGCUGCUGAUAGAAGAGAAUGAGGGGAUUAGGGUAGUCAUUGGGGAAUUAAAAAGGUAAGGAAUGAUCGUGGCCAUUGACCAAAAUAAUCAACAGCCUGGAUUAAAAGAGAGGGUUGGGCGGAUCGGAUAAACGGGUCAGGGGUCGGGUUAAAUUGAAAUUGGGUUGGGUAAUUUGGGAUUUGAAAUUGGGUUAUUUGGGGGAUCAAUUUGGGCUAUAAUUGAAAUAGCCUGUUUUUCUAUUUUUAUUUUAUAAAAAUAGUAAAAUGACUUCUGAAAAUAAAUUAAAGGUACUAAAUUAAUUAAUAAUAUAUAGAUAUUAUAUUAAAAAUGCUGGAACCAAUUGUAUAAUUAUACACGCAAUUAAAUCUUAAAAUAGGCUAAAAUUGCAAUUAAAUGCAAUUUAACUUUUAAAAUACUAAAUAAAUUUACAAAAAUGUGCAAAAUUACCUUAGCUAUAUUUUGGUAUAAAUAUGAGAAUAAAAUAAAUUAUUCACUAAAAUUAUAAUUUUGGGAAUAAUAAUUACUUUUUGUACUGCUAAAAUAGGGCAAUAAAUUGAUUUAAAAAUCUUUUAAAAUUAGGAAAAUACUAAAAUGUUUGGAUAUAUCUAUAUAUGCAUAUAUAUGAUAUUUUGAAAGUAUUUUCCAUAUAUAAAAUAUACAGGGAAAAAUUGGGUAUCAACAGCUACCCCUCUUUAUCCGGGAAGGAUGAAAGAGUUGUCGGGUAAAGAUAUGAUGGCCAAUUUGACCGAACGAAAUGGUUUGAAGAAUCUGACCGUGCUCUGGUUCCUGAGCUGCCUACAUAUCCUUGGUCUUACAGGAAUCAGGCCAUAUGUAGUUCAGGAUCCGUUGGCAGAAUAUGCCGAUGGAGAUUUUUUCAAGAACGGACGAGAUAUUCGGGUUGGGAUGGAUGAUUAAAGUCUAGCGGAGCUGCGGGAACUGGAGCGAGAUCGCUCCUACUGAGACGGCCGUUGCUAGCCGGUUUACUAUAAGUGUAUACUGUGUGAAAAUUUAAACAUGAUGCAAUUUCCCGUCGGACCAUGAAUGUUGUCUUCGUACGGUUAGGAUGACGUCCUCAGACCAUGACGUCUUGGGACAUGAAGCAUAUGAUAAGGAUUCGCAGGCCAUGAAAUUAUCUUCUCGGUCUAUGAGAAUGAUGUCUCCGAACUAUGAUGCCUUUGAAUAAUGAUAUGCAAUGAUGCCUCAGGCCAUGAAAUGGCGUUCUCGGGCUAUGAAAAUUGUGCCUCUAAGCAAUGACACCUUUGGAAAAUUUGGCGAUCUUUCAGCCCAUGAGAUGCAAUAGGUGGUGAUCUUUCAGCCAAUGAAAUUCAAUAAGUGGUGAUCUUUCAGCCGAUGUAAGGUAUAAAUGAAGCGGUGAUCUUUCAGCCAAUGAAAUGCAAUAAGUGGUGAUCUUUCAGCCGGUGCAAGUAUAAAUGAAGCGGCGAUAUUUCAGCCAUGCAGAUGUAAAUAAAGCGGCGAUNNNNNNNNNNNNNNNNNNNNNNNNNNNNNNNNNNNNNNNNNNNNNNNNNNNNNNNNNNNNNNNNNNNNNNNNNNNNNNNNNNNNNNNNNNNNNNNNNNNNNNNNNNNNNNNNNNNNNNNNNNNNNNNNNNNNNNNNNNNNNNNNNNNNNNNNNNNNNNNNNNNNNNNNNNNNNNNNNNNNNNNNNNNNNNNNNNNNNNNNNNNNNNNNNNNNNNNNNNNNNNNNNNNNNNNNNNNNNNNNNNNNNNNNNNNNNNNNNNNNNNNNNNNNNNNNNNNNNNNNNNNNNNNNNNNNNNNNNNNNNNNNNNNNNNNNNNNNNNNNNNNNNNNNNNNNNNNNNNNNNNNNNNNNNNNNNNNNNNNNNNNNNNNNNNNNNNNNNNNNNNNNNNNNNNNNNNNNNNNNNNNNNNNNNNNNNNNNNNNNNNNNNNNNNNNNNNNNNNNNNNNNNNNNNNNNNNNNNNNNNNNNNNNNNNNNNNNNNNNNNNNNNNNNNNNNNNNNNNNNNNNNNNNNNAUGGAGGUAGAGCUUAACCUCGGAAGGUAGAGUGGUAGACUUAGGCAGGAAGUAAAAUGGCAAAUGGCAAUAGAGUUUUCUUAGCUGAUAGCGGACUACGAUAUUGCGACUGCUGGGGAUACUAUGUCUGCUGGGGACACUGUGUGCGGAUAGCAGUUGUGAGUAAGUGCAACGGUUCUGAGAGUAGUAUUUCUGAGUAAUGUGACUCUCGUGAGUGUAUUGUAUAUUUGAUGAUUUUGCAACUCAAGUGCCUGUAUCCAAAGAAAAUCGUGAGUUUUGUAAAGGGGGGAGGUUAGUUCGUAUUCCCGCUAGCUCUGCUUGACUUGCUCGGCUCUGUUUCGGUGAUACUAUGCGUAUCAUUGGGGUAGCGUUGCUAAACAAAGCAACUUCGGUAACAAACAUGCAUGAUCUAGUAAAAAAUAUAACAUAAAUACAUAAUCGAGAAUAGUUUUCCUUAGAUGAACCUACGACUGUGAUGUGGUUCAAGACAUUACAACUUCUCUUGCUCAAGAAUUUUGAGGGUCCUCCUCAAAAUUCUAUCCCAGUUUCCAAUAUCUAGGAAAUCGAAAUCUUACUGCAUUAUGACCGAACACAUAGGGCUUCCUACGUAUCCCCUCUUAAACGGGAAUCAGUUUAGGCGUAGUUCAAGUUACAUCAUAAAAGAAAGCAUAAAGGUUACAUAUAGUAUCGCUUCAUUGCAUCUUAAUUGACCGGCUUCGGCCAAACUUCUCUGUUCAUUUUUUCAAGUAUGAGGGAUCCUCCUGUUAGAACCCGGUGGACCAUGUACGGACCCUGCUAGUUGGGAGAGAACUUCCCUUUGGCCUUGUCCUGAUGAAGGAAAAUAUUCUUUAACACUAGCUGCCCCGGUGUGAACUGUCUCAGCUUGACUCUUUUGUUGAAGGCUCUGGACAUUCUGUUCUGAUAAAGUUGAUCAUGGCAAACUACGUUCAUUCGUUUUCCAUCUAUAAGAGCUAGCUACUCAUAACGACUCUUCACUUAUUCUGCAUUGUCGAGUUCUGCUUCCUGUAUGAUCCUCAAGGAAGGAAUUUCUACCUCAGCAGGAAUGACCGCCUCUGUACCAUAAACCAGCAUAUAGGGAGUCACUCCGGUUGAAGUGCGGACUGUAGUACGAUACCUCAAUAAAAAUGAUAACUUCUCGUGCCACUGCUUAUGCUUCUCUAUCAUUUUCCUUAGUAUCCUCUUGAUAUUCUUAUUGGUGGCCUCUACGGCUCCGUUCAUCUGAGGUCUGUAGGCUGUAGAAUUCUUCUGUUUGAUCCUGAAGGUUUCACACAUGGCUUUCAUCAAAUCACUGUUGAUAUUGGAACCAUUAUCAGUAAUGAUUGAUUCUGCAAUUCCGAACGGACAAACGAUACGGUUGCGGACAAAGUCUGCCACAACUUUCUUAGUCACUGCCUUGUAUGAUGCUGCUUCAACCAAUUUGGUGAAAUAAUCAAUUGCCACAAGGAUGAACCUAUGCCCAUUUGAUGCGACAGGUUCGAUUGGUCCGAUAACAUCCAUUCCCCAAGCGGCGAACGUCCAUGGUGAGCUUGUUGCAUUAAGCUCGUUUGGAGGAACCUUUAUCAUAUCUGCAUGUAUCUGACAGCGGUGGAACUUCUGGACAUACUGGAUGCAGUCCGUUUCCAUAGUCAUCCAAAAAUAACCAGCUCAGAGUAUCUUCUUGGCUAAGACAAAGCCAUUCAUAUGUGGCCCGCAGGUCCCAGCAUGGAUUUCUUCUAGUAAUUUAGAUGCUUCCUUUGCGUUGACACACCUUAGUAAUCCCAGAUUUGGAGUCCUCCUAUACAGGAUUCCUCUGUUGUGGAAGAAAAUGUUGAAUAAUCUUUGAAGUGUAUGCUUUUGAAUAGGGUUUGCAAGCUCUGGGUGUUCUCCUUUCGCCAAGUAUUCCUUGAUAUCAUGAAACCAAGGUUUUCCAUCCACUUCUUCUUCGAAGUGAGCACAGUAAGCUGGCUGAUCGUAGAUCUUUACUAGAAUAGGGUCAAAGAAAUUCUUAUUUGGAUGAUGUAUCAUGGAUGAUAGGGUAGCCAAUGCAUCGGCAAAUUCAUUCUAGACACUGGGGACAUGCUGGAACUUUGUCUUUGUGAACCUCUUUCUCAACUCCUACACAUGAUACAGAUAAGGGAGUAUCUUGGAGUUCUUGGUUGCCCAUUCUUCACGGACCUGAUGUAUAAGCAAGUCUGAAUCCCCAUUCACUAGCAACUCUUGGACGUUCAUGUCAAUGGCCAUCUUGAGUCCCAAGAUGCAGGCCUCGUACUCAGCCAUGUUGUUGGUGCACGGGAAUCUGAGUUUGGCAGACACCGGAUAAUGCUGACCGGUUUCUGACACUAGGACUGCUCCUAUAUCAACUCCUUUGAAAUUUACUGCUCCUUCGAAAAAUAUUCUCCAACCAUCAUAGGAUUCUGCAAUAUCUUCUCCUGUGAAUGACACCUCUUCGUUAGGAAAAUAUGUCUUUAAGGUUUCGUAUUCUCUGUCCACAGGAUUCUCGGCAAGAUGAUCUCUCAAAGCCUGUCCCUUGAUUGCUUUCUGAGUUACGUAGACAAUGUCGAAUUCACUCAGCAGGAUUUGCCACUUGGCUAGCUAGCCAGUGGGCAUGGGCUUCUGAAAAAUGUACUUCAACGGAUCCAUCCUUGAUAUGAGAUACGUGGUAUAGGCAUAGAAAUAGUGCCUCAACUUCCGAGCUACCCAAGUCAGAGCACAAUAAGUGCAUUCUAACAGAGAAUACCGGGCCUCGUACGGGGUGAACUUCUUUCUAAGAUAGUAGAUGGCCUGCUCCUUCCUCCCUGUUUCAUCAUGUUGCCCAAGAACACAACCAAACGCUCCAUCUAGCACUGCAAGGUAGAGUAAUAGGGGUCUACCUGGUUCGGGCAGGACCAAAACUGGCAGUGUUGACAGGUACUCCUUGAUUCUGUUGAAGGCCCUUUGGCAGUCAUUAGUCCAUCUGGUAGCGGCGUCCUUCUUCAACAUCUUAAAUAUUGGCUCACAGAUGAUAGUAGAUUGAGCUAUGAACCGACUGAUGUAGUUGAGUCUUCCCAGGAAACUCAUCAUGUCCUUUUUGUUCUUUGGCGGUGGCAAUUCUUGAAUGGCUUUAACCUUUGAUGGAUCUAGUUCUAUUUCUCGGCGAGUUACAAUGAACCCAAGUAGUUUUCCCGUAGGAACCCCAAAUGCACAUUUCGCGAGAUUCAGUUUCAGGUUGUACUUUCUUAGUCUGUUGAAGAACUUCCUCAAAUCUUCCAUGUGAUCAGUGGCUUUCUUGGUUUUGAUGAUGACAUCAACUACAUACACCUCGAUCUCCUUAUGUAUCAUAUCAUGAAAAAUGGUAGUCAUGGACCUCAUAUAGGUGGCCCCUGCAUUUUCAGGCCGAAUGACAUCAUCUUGUAACAGUACACUCCCACGGCGUAAUGAAAGCCGUUUUCUCAGCAUCUUCUUCGUCCAUCCAGAUCUGAUGAUAUCCAGCAAAGCAAUCUACUAAUGAUUGCAACUCAUGCUUGGUGCAAUUGUCGAUUAGGAUGUGUAUGUUCGGCAAGGGGAAGUCGUCUUUNNNNNNNNNNNNNNNNNNNNNNNNNNNNNNNNNNNNNNNNNNNNNNNNNNNNNNNNNNNNNNNNNNNNNNNNNNNNNNNNNNNNNNNNNNNNNNNNNNNNNNNNNNNNNNNNNNNNNNNNNNNNNNNNNNNNNNNNNNNNNNNNNNNNNNNNNNNNNNNNNNNNNNNNNNNNNNNNNNNNNNNNNNNNNNNNNNNNNNNNNNNNNNNNNNNNNNNNNNNNNNNNNNNNNNNNNNNNNNNNNNNNNNNNNNNNNNNNNNNNNNNNNNNNNNNNNNNNNNNNNNNNNNNNNNNNNNNNNNNNNNNNNNNNNNNNNNNNNNNNNNNNNNNNNNNNNNNNNNNNNNNNNNNNNNNNNNNNNNNNNNNNNNNNNNNNNNNNNNNNNNCCUCCAGUGAUGUUGCUCGAUACAUAGGCCUCACUCAGCACCUUUAACAAGGCGUUCUUAUGUGCAUCGGAGCUUUGCAGUAAGGCUAGGAUAGAGAUCUGUGCCGGUGUUUUGUUCAACUGAUCAAUGACUGCGUACUCCUUUGCUUGUAUUUUUCUCCAGAGAUCAUCGGGCCCAGCUUCAGUGAUAGUCGGCCGUCCAAAGGCCUGCUUGCUUUAUUCAGCCAAAUGUUCCGGGGUGUAUACUCUGCCGGUUCUUGUCAUACCCUGUGCCGUAACUGCUUCUCCGGAUUUGGCUUUCCUUUCCUUCUUGCCUCAGCUGUGUAGUCCCAAGGGAUGGCCUUUGUAUGGAAUGGUGUUAUAGCCGACAUUUCUACUGGAAUGGGCGCCUUUACCCCAAACAGAGCAUGUAUUUUGGAUGGUAAAACCAUAACUUCAAACGGCGCGGGUGUGUUUGCUGGAGACCCAAACUCGACCUCAAUUGGUGUCGGCAUCUUUGUGGGGGAGAGCACUUCAAACUCAAGUGGUAUUGACAUAUUCACCUCAGUGUCCCCAGAAAGCUAGAUCUAGACUACAAUCGGAUUAAGGGUGACUGUCAGUUUCUUUGGAUCGUCACCUUCUGUGAUCAAACCGAUCGAUCCCUUGGGGUCCCAAUCAUCUUCCAUCUCAAUCAUGUGAAUGCCUCCACCCUUGUGGUCGGGCAGAGGGUUGUUGCGGACAUUCGGAGUAGGAUCCUUUGCUACAAUAAUCUUGUUAUCAAUCAGUGCCUGGAUCUUAUCUUUCAAAGAACGACAUUCAUCAAUGGCAUGCCCUUUCAUGCCGGAAUAGUAUGCACAGGAUUUAUUUGGAUUGACCUAUUGGGAAGGGUUUUCAGGGGUUAUAGCAGAGAUGGGGGUGACAUAACCAGCAGCUUUGAGCCUUUCAUACAGCUGGUCAAUUGGUUCAGCAAUGGCGGUAUAUUGUUUGGGAGGUCUGCGGUCGAAAUUCAGUCGAGGUCUAGGAAAGUUUUGGCGCGUGGGAGGUGAUUAAUAGUGAGAGGAUUGAGCGUUGUAGGCUUGGUAGAUAUGUGUGGGUGAGGAAUAUCUGGGUGAAGUAGGAUAAUAUGUGGGAGGUGGAGGUGAUUGAUAAGUAGGUGGUAGAGUUUGGUAAGAGGGCGAGGGUGCUUGGUAAAUUGGAGUAGGUUGAUAUGUGAGUGGAGGCAUCGAGUAGGUUUGGUAUUUGAUAGGGGAUUUGGUUCUCUGUGCAACCAUUACGACACUCAUGUCCCUUUUCUUGGACGUGCCACCAGACUGUAGAGCCUUGUUGGUAGCUUGCAAGGCUUCAAAGUUUGUGACCAUACCACUUUUGAUGCCUUCCUCGAUCCUCUCACCUAGCUUGAUGAUGUUAGAAAAUUGCUGGCUUUCAAUCAGCAUCAACCUUUCAUAGUACUGUGAGUCUUGAGCUCGGACAAAAUACCUGUUCAUUUGUUCUUCUUCUAAAGCCAGUCUGAACUUAGCAACUUCUGAUCUCCAGCAAGUAGCAUACUCGCGGAAUAUCUCCGCGGGUUUCUUCUUUAGGUUCUGGAUAUAGAACACAUCUGGCGCAUUUUCUGUGUUGAACCUGAACCUGUCCAUGAAAUCAGACGCCAUGCUUACCCAAUUCGACCACUUCUUCGGAUAUUGGCUAAUGUACAAAGACAGAGCAUCUCCUUUCAGACUCCUCAUGAAAAGUUUCAUGCGGAUCCUUUCGUCCUUUCCUACUCUGACCAGCUUGUCACAGUAUGUUCUCAAAUGAACUCUCGGAUCUCCUGUACCAUCGAACAUCUCGAAGUUCGGAGGUUUGUACCCCUCGGGUAGUUCAACAUCGGGCUGUAGUUCUUAAGCUCUUCAGCUAGAACCAUGCUCAAAACAUCAUUGUACGCCGGAGCAAAACCGGCAAGGGCCAUAAAACCUUGGAUCUAUAGAGAUCUGAACGGACACCUUCGAGGUCAGACCUAGGACCUUCGAAUACCAAGUGUUUGAGAGUAGAUGGAGAUGAGUUUAGGCCAUCCAUGGCUUGAGAUGCCAUAGAUUCCGAUGAGCUUAAGGUAGAAGACAGUGAGAGAGGCUAGGGUUUCGAGAGAGUUUGAGAGGAGAGGGAUUUCAGAGGCGGCUGAUAGAAGAGAAUGAGGGGAUGAUGGCAGUCAUUGGGGAAUUAAAAAGGUAAGGAAUGAUCGUGGCCGUUGAUCAAAAUGAUCAACGACCUGGAUUAAAAGAGAGGUCCAGGCGGAUCGGAUAAGUGGGUCAGGGGUCGAGUUAAAUUGAAAUUGGGCUGGGUAAUUUGGGAUUUGAAAUUGGGUUAUUUGGGGGAUCAAUUUGGGCUAUAAUUGAAAUAGCUAGUUUUUCCAUUUUUAUUUUAUAAAAAUAGCAAAAUGACUUCUGAAAAUAAAUUAAAGGUACUAAAUUAAUUAAUAAUAUAUAGAUAUUAUAUUAAAAAUGCUGGAACCAUUUUUAUAAUAAUAUGCACAAUUAAAUCUUAAAAUAGGCUAAAAUUGCAACUAAAUGCAAUUUAACUUUUAAAAUACUAAGUAAAUUUAUAAAAAUGUGCAAAUAUUACCUUAGCUAUAGUUUUGUUUAAAUAUGAGUAUAAAAUAAAUUUUUCACCGAAAUGAUGAUUUUGGAAAUAAUUAUUAGUUUUGUACUGCUAAAAUAGGGCAAUAAAUUGAUUUAAAUUUUUUUAAAUUAGGAAAAAUACUAAAACGUUUGGAUAUACCUAUAUAUGUAUACAUAUGAUAUUUUGAAAGUAAUUUGCAUAUAUAAAAUAUACACAAAAAAAUUGGGUAUCAACACCUACAAGCACAAGGACGUGAAGGUAAGAAUUACGGAUAAUUAUAUGUGAGUAAGAACAUCAAAAAUUCCAUCGAGUAUGCGAUGUAAUAAGCUCGCAACUUUAAAAGAGUCAAAAGGUCAUCCCUAUGUACUACGACGAAAGACUAACUAAGGAAAUAAGGAAGAAGGCUUCAACCUAAACGUGGUAUCUCGCAGAAAACAAAUGAUCAUGUAAAAAAAAGUCUCACUAUAACAGGCUUCUUAUUGACCAAAGGGCAAAGGAGCCCCAUGUAUAUCUUGCCCUUAACCCAAUAGAGAAAAUUGCUUAAUGAAAUUUUGUAUGGCUGGUUGUCUUGACAUAUCUGCGGUAACAGGCGAGUCGAAGCCGAAGCUACGAAAGCUACCUCGAGAGACAGGUAACCUUUGUUUCGAGGGGAUGCACAUUUCCUAUUCUAUCUUCUGAGAUUAAUAUUUUUAUACUUUGGUUGCAGAGAAAAAUAGAGGACCUGCAACUCCUUUAGGGCGAAGUUGGUCAGGCCAUGUACGAGUGUAAUGAGCUAACGGCUAGAGGCAGAUGCCCAGGUUGCAGCCAAGAAGAAUGCUUUGGCCAAAGCUUCAGCCCUCGAGGUGAAACUUUGGAAUGCUCGUGAAAAUAGCUCGAUCCAAACGAGUAUGAUUGCAAGGCCGAGGUCAUGAAUGCCCGAGCUGAAGCUGAUGUGAUUCAAGCUAAGGCCGACAAGAAAGUGGUCGUUUAUUUAAAAGAUGAUGUUGAUGCUUGGGCUGAGUUGAGAGGGGCUUAUGAUCGAGAGAGCCGAAGCAAUGAGUAUGCCCGGUGCAAAUCUCAGAGGGAGACCAUCAAAUAGAUCCACGCACGCUAUAAAAAAGUGGCACCUACCAUGGCUAGAACUGGAAGUAAAGUCAAAAGUAAUAUUCGAGAUCAUAUGAGUUGCACGAAAAUUCCGGCAUGCGUGGGAACUAAGAUAAUCUAAGUAUACACACAACAAGGAGGUAGAAGACCAGGAAAAGUAAUACCUUAUGUUUAAAGUAAGUUGAGAAGGAACUAUUCGAUCACUGAUCUAGAGUUGGUUACAUUAUGAAUGCACUUGCGAUUUUGGAGUAUACAUAUAUGUUGACAAUCAUACAGCCGUAGAAGACUCUAAUACAAUUUAAAAAAAAAAUUGAGUCCAGGUUAUAGACAUAAAAUUUAACUAUUAGAAGAUUAUAUCCGCAGUAUUCCAUAGCAUCCAUGAAAGGCUAAAGUAAUACCAUGACCCGCAGAUCGGAAUAUAGCUUAAGCAUAAAGGCUGGUCAUAAGGAGGAGGAAACUAAAGAGUUACAUCAAUGAAGUAAAUUAGGAAUCUGAUUAUUGGACCCAAAGAGUUAUAGACCUCGUGAUUAAGAAUAUUGCAGGAUUACUCUUAGAUAUUAGAGGUACAAGAGAGAUAGUACAGUAGCCAUAUUCUAUAACGGCUCUAUGAUAAAGCCCGUUAGAAGAGUACCAGCCUCUUAAGAUGUCACUAUGAAGCUCCCAUCGGAUUGUAUAUGCACCAGAGUUGCAAGUAUUAUAAUAGAGCUUCAAGUUAUGGAUGUGAAUUAUACCUAUGUGGAAGAAAGGUCAUGAAAGAUAUACAAUAUGUAAUGCAAGAUUGUAAGGUAAGUAAGGUAAAGGUAAACAACGUACGAGAUACUCAUAUAUAGAAGUUUGUGAAUAGUCCAUACUUCAGAUAGAAGGCUAGAAGCGCAGGAAUUCAGUAUCAAUAGUGGUGUGGACAGUAGCAUAUCUUCUAGCCUAUGGUGUGUAGGUACCGAGAGAUCUAGUCAGGAGAAUAAAGAAAGUUAAAGACGAUGCGAUGUCUCGCUUGAUAUUCCAGAAUAACACAAGGAAACCUAUAAUGCAAGCAAGUUUAAAGAAGGUUGCGAGUAGUAUAAAUAGAUAUAUGUAGGUCACAAGCUAAAGUAUGGUAAAGUGAUAAGGUUUUAGGAAGAUAGGAGUAAGGAUAAGAAAGGACAAGUAAGAAGGUGACGAGAAUGGAUAUGUCCUCAAGAUUAAGCCCAUUAAAAUAAGAAGAGAUGAUGGUUUCUCUAUGUCAUACAAAGCUCAUUAUAGCUUGAAUGAACCCAAAGGAGUCUAAGACUAGUAGCAUUUAGAAGAAAUGGAAUGCUGCCCUUGUAGUAGAAUAAGGGUGUAAUUGUGACCUUCGAUUGAGUAAUAAUUUGAAGAGGAUUUCAUGAAUUGUACAGGAUUAAAAUACCUAUGUAAGGUAAAUCACACUGGGAUACUAUGAAAUACGAUUAUGGAAGCAUGGUAUCGUCCCUAGGUGGAUUAGUUUAAUCACUUCAAAUGUUCCCCAAUGAGACGUAAGCCCUAGCGGCAAGGUAUUAUGUAAGAAGUUUCAGUUAUAAGUGGUAGAUUGUAGAUUGAUAUUGAGGUGAAUCAGCAAUGGAUAGAUAAAGGUUACAAAAUAGGAAAUGAGGUUAGGCCAUCAUUCUUAAGAUGAACAGUAAUGAGGAAGCAUUAAAGGACUUAGACUUAUGCAUAUAAGAUAAAUAACGAGAGUAAGCUGGAAUUUGGUAGCAGACCUCAGCAACGAUAAAUCGAAGUAAAAGUUACGGUAUAGUAUGACCUAUCUUGAUGCAGUAAAGUCAUAUGGAUGGAUAAAUGGACCUAUGAAAUAAUAUAUAGCAAUAUUCGUAAGUUUAAAAAAAAUAUCGAGCAAAGAACAUCAUGUAUACCUAUAGAUGCCCAGAUGGACAUCUUGUCAAGCACUGUAUAUGUUUACGAAAUAAGUCCUAGAGAUUGGCUAAAAGCUGUAGGAAAAAGGAGAGAAGAGUCGCAUAGGUGCACUCACAAGUCAGAGUUGUACAUGCUGCAUAAUAAAAGGAAGCAAUAGUUACAAGAUUGGAAAUAAUUCUGACCACCAGUCGUGGUGUGAAAAAGAGGCUUAAAGGUUGGAAUGCUAAAAGAACAGUUGCCAAGAUGGCAAGGAGAGAACUAAAUUAUUCGGAAGACAUAAGUCAUGAAAAUGAUAAGUGAUGUCAACAUUCGAGGACGAAUUUUUCAAAGGGAAGAAUGAUGUUACACCCCAUGUUUUCAUACGUAGAAGUACGCCAUAAGUAAAUUGGUAUAAGCUCGAAAAUGAGAUGUUACAUCCCACAUUUUCGUAUGUUAAAGUUUUGUCUUAAGUUAAUCGACGUAAGUUCGGGAAUGGGAUUAUUUUAAGAUUAUAAGCAUUAUGAAAUUUCAAACAAGUGAAGAGUAAAUCCGUGAAGGUGAGAGGGUAAGCAAAUCGAAGAAAAUAAAUUUCGUUGAAGUUUGAAAUGUUGAGAUAAAAUACGGCCCGAGCUAAAAUAUCCUAUAUUUAUGGGCUAGUGCCAUACAAGGUAUCACAUGACCAUGAUAGAAAUGUGUAUAAGGUGUGUUAAAAGUGAGUAGUAUUUUAAGUAAUUUGAGAUAAUUCUUAAUUAUGUGGAUAAUUGGGUAAUUAUUGGUUAAUGGAGGAUUAAUAAUGAACUAAGAUGUUGGUGAUUGAUUGGUUGAGAAUGGAUAAGCUAAAAGGUGGCAGCAAUAGAGGUCUUGAAUACAUGACUCAUUAAUCACAUGCCAAGGCUGCUUAUUUAUGAAAAUUAUGGGACUUAGUCAUCAAAGAUGUGGGGACCACAACCCCUUAGUAAAGACAUUUCAAAGAAUUAAGAAAAGGAUGUUUGAAUGAAGAACUCAAGGGCCACUGUUGGAGUAGCUCACAACUUUGAGAAAUUUCAUAAGUCUUCUCCAACUCAAAGUAACAUGAGGAAUAUUUUAUAACUUCUUCAACCAAUUCAUACCAUGAUUCUAACAUUAUAAAAGUGAAUCCAACGAGAUUCCAACGAAAUUUCUUAGCACCUUAGCAACAUGAGAUUUUGCAAUUAAGGAAGUACAGUGCAAUCUUUCUCAAGAAUAUCAUACGGAUUUCCCCCUACUUUGAUCUGUCGUUACGUGUUUCAUCGCAAUUGAUGUAUAUUAGAGGGAUUGUCAAGAAAAUUGACUCAGGUAUGCUAAGGCUAUCCCUUCUUUCUUUUUGGCAUGAUCCGAAUAAUACAAAUGAAACGAGCAAAAUACACAACUUUCAUAAAUGAUUCUAUUCAUAAAAAUACUAGAGGUGUCUAUAUUCUUGAUUCUCAUGUGAAUUAUUAUUAUACCUUCUGUUCAUGGGACAUAGAAAAAUGUGUAUUUGAUAAAGUUUAUCCGAAAGGCAUAUUGAUUUUUAUGGCAUUCCCAGAAAAUCUUAUUAAGGUAUUUCUUAUGCGUUUCAUGCAUUUAUACAUGUACAUUGACCCAUGACCAGAUGGUGUUAUAUAUGCGUAUAUAUGUAUAUGGGAUAUGGGAAAAAGUUACGGCUUUAUAUAUGCACCACCACCUGAUCAGCUGGUAUACGUUGAUGAUUUUGCCUACAGUAGACGAGAUGAUAUGAUAGGAUACCCUCAGAGGCUUGAUGAUAUUAUAAACACAUGUACUUAUGCACGACAUGAUAUUCAUACGCAUAUGCAUGACACUAUAAGUAUUUCAUGAUAUACAAAAUUGUCCAUACUUACAGGUUGGGUCAUGUACUCUAUAUUUCUUCCUUGUCUUUUACAUACAUAUGUAUGUGCCUUACAUACUCGGUACAUUAUUCGUACCGACAUCCCUUUUGCCUGGAGACACUGGGUUUCAUGUCCUCUAAGUAGGCUAUCAGCUCAGCAGAAGAUGUUGGUGCGCUCCAUUUGCUCCGGAGUUGCUUGUCUGGUCAGUAUGAUUUAGACCCUUAUAUUUUGGUAUGGCGGGGCCCUAUCCCGAACUUUAUUAAGUAUGUAAUAUUAGAGGCUUGUUGACAGAUGUCAUGUAUACGAAUGCUUGUAUGGCCUUGCCGGCCUAUAUUUUGAGUUUACAAAUGAACAUGUUGGCCUUAUAGGCCCGUAUGUCACAAGUAUAAUUUUUUUAUAUAUAUAUCAGGUUGGAUCAUCAUAUAUUGAGUAUUCCCCUAUGUUUAUUUUGGUUAGCCCAUGAUAGACCGUUUGACCCAUUUACCAAUUAAAGUAUAAUAAGAAAGAUAUGUUAUGUUGGUACUUGGUUAAGUAAUGUAUCGGGUGCUCGUUGCGGCCCAUAGGUUGGGUCGUGACACUUUUGUUGACUUUUUAGAAGUUGUAUAAGGAUCACAACUUUAUUGAUUGAAAUUAUUUUCUCUUGCAUUGUGUGAUGUAUUUAAGUCAUCAUUGGCUAGAUUGAGCCGAGCGGAGGUGAAUUUGUAAAGGAAAAAGCUAAAUUAAGUAUUGAGUUAGCCGAAUUGAGGUAUGAGUCUUACCUAACUUUGUUAAGGGAAUUUUUCCUACUAUUUUACAUUGUUUUCUAUAUGCGGGGGUGAUACAUAUAUGAGGUGACGAGCAUAUAUGCAUGUGCUAGGGUUAACCAUGCUCGGGGGUAAAUUAUGUUAUAAAUUUUGUCUCGUAGAAUUACGUGACCUUCUUGCUUCAUGCCUUACUUGACUCCUAGAUACUAAUAACAUAGUAUUAAAUGUUAGAAACCAAGACUUUGCUUAUUAUAACUUGAUCAAAUUUGAUGGAAUUCUAAGAAUACAUUGAUGUGUCUAUUUCGGUCAUCACUAUCUUAAUCAUUAAUACAUUGCUACGGUCGAUAUUCUUGAGAUACUAGAUUUUAUACUCGUGUUGUAGAUCAUUCGUGAGAUUUGUUGAAAUACUUCAAUAAUAAGGUUCUUGCGGAUUUAUUGAACUAUUGUUUGUUUUUAAAGUUGUGAUUGGGAUUCAAUUGGAAUAUUCGUUUAAAUACUCUCCUUGAUGUUAUCUAUGCUUCCUACCAUGUUUUCCAUUGAUAUACAUAUGCUUGGUAAGGAAGAGUUUAAAGCACGAAGGGUGAUGCCGUGCCAUGUUAUGUGAGUGUAAACCACAAAGGGUGAUCUCGUGCCAUAUCAUUGAGUGUAAUGCACGAAGGGUGAUGUUGUGCUAUGCUAUGAGAGUGUAAAGCACGAAGGGUGAUGCCGUGCCAUAUCAUUGAGAGUAAAAUCACGAAGGGUGAUGUCGUGUCAUUCAUUUGAGAGUAAAAGCACGAAGGGUGAUGACAUGCCUUUCAUUUAAGAGUAAAAGCACGAAGGGUGAACCCGUGCUAUUUCAUUUAUAUUGUCAAGCUUUUAUAUUAUCGUGAGUUCAUGGCACAAUGGGUAUUUCCAUGCAGACGAGGAUGAGGGACAUACAUUACGUUGUGAUAUAUGUUCCCCGUGUAUACGUUCAUACCUUUACCUUGAGUUGUUAUUAUCGUACUUAUAGAUCUCGUGUGACUUGUUGUUAUUGUCAUGUCCGUGAUCUGUAUCUCAACUGUUGUUGUGUUGAUCAUACGUUCUACUUACUUAACUUGCAAAUAACAUGCCUACUAUUGUUGUUAUAAUUACAUCCAUGUCGUAUCUAUUCUGUUACGCUUUAGUACAAGCCUUUUUCCAUGUUAGUCAUUCAUGCCUCUACUUUUUAACUUGUAAAGAUCAUGUGUUUCCUUCUUAUAUGUUAUACCUAUAUCUAGGCCUCCACCAUGCUAGUUAGUUGAAGUUAAUAGUCAGUGUCUUCCAAUUGCUGUCAUUACUCAUAUGUCUUCUGCCUAGUCUAUUAUUGUUUUCCACAUGUAUGUCCUUGUUCAUUAUGGGUGCUUGAGUAUUUCCUACUUUGUAAUCCCUGUUAUUGGUAUUUCUGUCAUUCGAUUGGUACUGUUAUACGUAUUUUGGUCAAGAUGAGAUAAAAGAACGAAGGGUAUUGUAGACAUAUAAUUUUUUAUCCUCCCCAAGAUUUUACACAUUUUAGCAUUUAAAUAUUUAGUUUAGGUCUAAUAUCGAUAGUUUAACUCGAUUUGACUCUUUUACUUUAUUUUUAUCACACUAUUCUACUAGGAUUCUAAUUUUUAUAUAAUCUUGAAAAAAUACCAAAAUAGUUUCACAAUAUAAUAUUGUUUGUUUUAAUUAAUUAGAAUUAGUUUUAUAUUCUUAUAUUAUAAAUUUUAUAUUAUUUUUAGAAGGAAGAGUGAUUUUUUGGUUGGUGUAUCCAUUUUUAAUGAGAGAGAUCCAUUUUUAAUCUUUAAGCCCAAUUUUGAAGCCCAACAAGACCUAACCCACUACUCCCUUCUUCUUUAACCCUUACAUCCUAACCUUUCUUCAUCAUCUACACACUACCAAAACCCUAGAACCCUAGACAAAAAUCCAGCCAUCAUCCUCAACAGACCUAAGACUCCCCACCGACGUUCCCUCUUCUUCAUCUUAUGAAGGAACCCCCAGCCGUGGAUUCUUCUUCUUCUUCUAACCCUUUAACACCCCUAAAAAACCCUAGAAAGCCAUAAGUCAUGGACCCUUAGGAACGACCCCUCCAUCUCCCACGCCGUUCAACUUGAACCUUCCCUAGCACCAACCUGCCGCCAUCAACAAGAACACCAGCAGCUGCCAUCAAUCUUCUCAAACCCGCCGGAAAUCCGCCGGUGAACACCCACAACAACCAGCUACCUGCCACUUCCCUUCCUUUCUCCAUCUCCAGCGUCUAGCACACCCCAGAAUCCAGCAGCCAUCAGCAACCAAACACAAAAAUACCAUCCGCCCCAACUCCUCUCAAGCACCACGCCGGCAGACCCCCCCCCCCCCCCUUCAGCUAAUGAGCGCCAUUUUUUCUUUCUUCUUGAACGAACUCCAGCAGCAACCACCACACUUACACACAUAGCAACAAACCCAGAUCUGAAAUAAAUAAAUAUAUAUAUAUAUAUAUAUAUAUAAGAGCUUAUGUUUUUUUCAUUUUUUAAUUCGGUUUUGGUAUAAAAAAUCAUGGUAUUUGCUUGAGGUUUGGAAGUUUAUUGAUUUUGAUUGCCGGUUUGAGGUUCGUUGCGGUCAAAUUUGAGUUUGUCGAAUUUCAGUUCGUUGGUUUUAUUGCUGAUUUUCUGAUUGUGGUCCAAAAUUAGAUCUGAAUUUCAGUUCGUUGCUGAUUUGAGUUUGUCGAUUGAUCUUAUCCCGUUUCUCUUAUUUCUUUCUAUCAUGUGCUUGAUUUUAGAUAAUGACACUUUGUUGCGUAUUUGACAUGUUGUUUGUUUGCUGAUGUUUAGUUACUGAAGUAUAUCUUUGAAGUUAUUCUAGAUGAUAUUUUAAGUUUAAUUGGAUGAUUUGAGUUUGUAUUGUUAAAGCUUAAACAAAGAUUAAUCUAGGAAAUGAAAGUUGUUGUUCAUGGGCUGAUUUGACAAAUUGGGCAGUGGAGUUGGGUAUUAAAAUAAAAGAUGAUUUGAGUUUAAAAUUUUAUUAUUUUUCUUUCAUUAAUUGUACGGUAGGAGCAUGUUUAGGCCAACCACACAUGGGCAGGCAAAUUUUAGGAUUUGGUUAGUUUUGAGGUGAGAGAUCGUUCCUUUAGUUAAAUGCAUCCGGGGAAUGCCCCGAAGGAUUUCUAUAUAUUUUAUUCCGGGGAAUGCCUCGUAGUACUCUGUAAUUGGAGGCCAAAAGUAGGACUUUUAUUGUUCUAUUCUUGUUUUAUUUUUCUUUAUUAGGUCGAGACGACAUCAAACCUCGAGUGUGUUUAUUUUCUUUUCUGUGUUUUCCCUCAAUUAGAAUAUUUUAAAAAGUCAACUAGAUCAAGUAUGCAACCGUACUAGUUACGGGACUUGGGGAGUUCCUAAUACUUUCUCCUCGAGUCAAAUGAACCCCAUUACCCAAAUCUCUGGUGUAGACAUAGUUUUUGAGUCCAAAGUAUUUUAAAAGGAAAAUCAUUUAUAAAAAAACAAAUUGGUGACCUGGCACACCGAAACCAAUGUCAGGUGGCGACUCUAAAAAAUUCUUUUGAACAAAAUUUUGUCACUUUCAAAUUGAAAACCCUUUUGAGCUUUACAAAUCCUUUUAUUAUUUAUAAAAGGGUUAAGCGAGGUUAAAAGAAAAGGGGUGUGACAGCUCCGAUGACUCUACUGGGGAGUUGCAGGUUCGACCUGAUACUUGAUCUUGUUGGCUUUUAGGAUAUUUGGUUGAGGUGUUUGUUUUCUUUAUUUGCUUUGUUUGUCUUAUUUCCUGUUUUUUGGGUUAUUUGUUUAUCGCUUUUCCUCAUGUGUUACUGAUUUAUAAAUUGUCAUCAUUUGCAUAACCAUGGUCUUCUUUCUGCAACAAGUCUUCCGGGGUACGUUUGAGCGCACAUGGCCUUUUUGUGAGUCACCUGUGUCUUUAGGGGGUGGUGUGGGAACGUGGAGUAGGCGGACAGUUUGAGCGUACAUGGCCUUUUUGUGAGUCACCUGUGCCUUUAGGGGGUGGUGUGGGAGCAUGGACUAGGCGGACAACUAGAGCAGCCACCAUCGACCACGUGCCGCUCCGAAUUGCCUUGUCUAGUGAACCCUAAACUUAGGUCAGCCUUUAGGUCAUGGUUAUUUGCAUCAUAUCAUUUAGACAUAGUAGGGCUCGGUCCAGGUACCGUGUCCCCUUUUAUGAGGCCUUAUCCAAAUUACGUCAAAACAGGCUCAUGGCCCAAAAGACAUUUAAUCAUUCCUAUGUGCUAAAUGAUGCAUUCUUUAAGGGUAAAGAGGUUAUUUGGAAGACCAAUGAUGGUUGAGGGUACAAAGAUGAAGCAAGUAGGGCCCAGUUAUAUUUUUCUUUCACAACUUUUUCAAAAAAGACAGAAAAAAUGAAAAAUGAAUAAUCCAAAAAGAUUUUGCACUUUCCUACCAUUUUUCUAAAAAAAAUCCAAAUAGAUUUUACAUUUUCCAUCAUUUUUCAAAAAGACAAAAAAUUAUUGUUUUGCCAAAUUAGUUGCAUUUUUUUAAAAAGCUUUCUCCCAUGUCCAAUGUUCCCGAACUACGCAUACCUGAUUUUCGUCUUUCAGGGUGGGAUAUGUAGGCAUCUCACAUAGGGUCCGGUCUUCCUAGUAAGUCUUAUGUUCUUGCUUUGCGGGGUCUUAGCCAAAAUUUGCAGGUCUAGCCAUUUUUGUCCAUAUCGGCUAUUUCUACAAAAUAAGGUCAUUUUCGCAAAAGUGGAUCAAUGACCCAUAUCUUAGGAUAUUUAGUCCACAACUAGGUAUCAUAGUAUGUUAAGGUCCAUCCUUUUUUUUGAGUUUGCAUCUUCAGUCACUUCUGGCCAUAUCAGUCAUUUUUGCCAGAAUGGGUCAUUUCUGCAAAUUAAUCUAGGGCCAUGAUUAUUGGGAGUGUGAAUCCAUAUAAGCCUUAGUAAGGUAUUUCCAUAUCUGAGUAGUCACAUUUGUUGAGUUUGCACUUCUGGCCACUUUUGGCUACGUAGGUUAAUUUUCAAAAAUAGCCUAAACGUGUCUUGCAUGUGUCCAAUAGGAGGUAUUGUGGUGUUGCAUAGUGUCUUGAGUCAUUGAUCUAUUUGGUCUUACUUUUCUCAUUCAAGUGUGGAUCCAUGUACCAGGACUCGAGCAUGGCAUAUUCCCGAGGACCAUUGCAUUUUGAACCUUGUCUGAGGAAACUUUUAUGUUUUGAGUCUAUUUCUGUGGUGUUUUUCUUUACUUUCUAAUCAUGUCUAGCAGUAUUCAGUCCUUUAGUUGGUGUUAGAAUUUGUCGUAGUAUAGUUGAGUUUGUCGAGUCUCUCAUUAUCGUACUUUCCAUUUGUAUUUGAAAAAAAUAGUUAUAAAUAAAAAUAAAAAAAAUCCAAAAAGAUUUUUAUUUAGUUUAUUUUGUCCAUUACUUUUCCAGAUCUACGCUUGAUCUGAUUCAUGAGGGACAUGAUACGUAGGCAACCUACAUAGGGUUCGAUCAAAUCAUUAUUAAAAAAAACUGUUGUGAGAAGUGAGAGGAAAUUGCCGAAUGCAAGAAAAGAGCGAUAAUCAGAAAGAAAAGANNNNNNNNNNNNNNNNNNNNNNNNNNNNNNNNNNNNNNNNNNNNNNNNNNNNNNNNNNNNNNNNNNNNNNNNNNNNNNNNNNNNNNNNNNNNNNNNNNNNNNNNNNNNNNNNNNNNNNNNNNNNNNNNNNNNNNNNNNNNNNNNNNNNNNNNNNNNNNNNNNNNNNNNNNNNNNNNNNNNNNNNNNNNNNNNNNNNNNNNNNNNNNNNNNNNNNNNNNNNNNNNNNNNNNNNNNNNNNNNNNNNNNNNNNNNNNNNNNNNNNNNNNNNNNNNNNNNNNNNNNNNNNNNNNNNNNNNNNNNNNNNNNNNNNNNNNNNNNNNNNNNNNNNNNNNNNNNNNNNNNNNNNNNNNNNNNNNNNNNNNNNNNNNNNNNNNNNNNNNNNNNNNNNNNNNNNNNNNNNNNNNNNNNNNNNNNNNNNNNNNNNNNNNNNNNNNNNNNNNNNNNNNNNNNNNNNNNNNNNNNNNNNNNNNNNNNNNNNNNNNNNNNNNNNNNNNNNNNNNNNNNNNNNNNNNNNNNNNNNNNNNNNNNNNNNNNNNNNNNNNNNNNNNNNNNNNNNNNNNNNNNNNNNNNNNNNNNNNNNNNNNNNNNNNNNNNNNNNNNNNNNNNNNNNNNNNNNNNNNNNNNNNNNNNNNNNNNNNNNNNNNNNNNNNNNNNNNNNNNNNNNNNNNNNNNNNNNNNNNNNNNNNNNNNNNNNNNNNNNNNNNNNNNNNNNNNNNNNNNNNNNNNNNNNNNNNNNNNNNNNNNNNNNNNNNNNNNNNNNNNNNNNNNNNNNNNNNNNNNNNNNNNNNNNNNNNNNNNNNNNNNNNNNNNNNNNNNNNNNNNNNNNNNNNNNNNNNNNNNNNNNNNNNNNNNNNNNNNNNNNNNNNNNNNNNNNNNNNNNNNNNNNNNNNNNNNNNNNNNNNNNNNNNNNNNNNNNNNNNNNNNNNNNNNNNNNNNNNNNNNNNNNNNNNNNNNNNNNNNNNNNNNNNNNNNNNNNNNNNNNNNNNNNNNNNNNNNNNNNNNNNNNNNNNNNNNNNNNNNNNNNNNNNNNNNNNNNNNNNNNNNNNNNNNNNNNNNNNNNNNNNNNNNNNNNNNNNNNNNNNNNNNNNNNNNNNNNNNNNNNNNNNNNNNNNNNNNNNNNNNNNNNNNNNNNNNNNNNNNNNNNNNNNNNNNNNNNNNNNNNNNNNNNNNNNNNNNNNNNNNNNNNNNNNNNNNNNNNNNNNNNNNNNNNNNNNNNNNNNNNNNNNNNNNNNNNNNNNNNNNNNNNNNNNNNNNNNNNNNNNNNNNNNNNNNNNNNNNNNNNNNNNNNNNNNNNNNNNUACUUUCCAUUUGUAUUUGAAAAAAAUAGCUAUAAAUAAAAAUAAAAAAAUCCAAAAAGAUUUUUAUUUAGUUUAUUUUGUCCAUUACUUUUCCAGAUCUACGCUUGAUCUGAUUCAUGAGGGACAUGAUACGUAGGCAACCUACAUAGGGUUCGAUCAAAUCAUUAUUAAAAAAAAAUGUUGUGAGAAGUGAAAAUGAGAGGAAAUUGCCGAAUGCAAGAAAAGAGCGAUAAUCAGAAAGAAAAGAGAGGAAGGAAAACGAGCAAGCCAUGGAGUGUUAGAAAAGAAAGAAAAGAGAAGACUGAAAUGAACAAAAUUGAUAUGAUGCCAAAUGACAUUGUGACCCUCGAGGUCAUUCUAGAAUCGUUAAUUGUUGCUAGGUGCAUUGCAUGUAAUGUGAUAUUUCUAUCUUAUAAAUGCCCUAACGCUAAUAUGUUCGCUUUGUUUUGCUCCUUUUUGUUACUUUCAUUGUUAUCAUAACAGAGGGUGGUUUGUUUGUGGCACUUUGGUGAUUCAUCCAUACAACACAAGGUCAGAGAGCAAGGCAGCCAUGGCUAGCGAAGACGUGAACACAAGAGUUCUUGACCCCUCGAGGGAGAUUGUGGAGUCGGAAUCUGAAUUUAAAGAGGAGGUCCAAAGGCUAAAAUAACAAAUGUCUGAAAUGUGUCAAGCAUGGGCCAAUGGUCAAGGACCACCCCUUUCUUAUGUUUUCCCCGAGUUUACACCCAUCUCGACUACUACCACUUCGGUUUUAUUAUCUGAUCAAUUCUAUCCAUUUAGGUUCAGUCUUUAUCCCAAUUGUAUGACAAUAGCUGGAACUUCUGUUGCGUACUCCCAAAGUGUGCCAUUGACAACCAAUCAGACAACCGCUACAGUUAUGCCUGUCUUCACCAUCCCACAACCGACAUUGGUGCAGAGGAAAACUCAUGAGUCACAAUUUGCUACCCAGCAAGAACAGUACCACUCUCAUGAGUACCACUCUUACCUAUUUGAUCUUCCUACAAAGAUUGAGAAGCCUGGCCGAAAGAUAGUACCGGAAGAAAUACCCCAAAGACUUAAAACUUAGAACAAUAGUUGAAAAACAUACAAGGGCUGGAAGGUCAGAAGAGUAUUGCCUUCAAGGAUCUAUGUAUGUUCCCCGAUGUCCUUUUGCCACUUAGUUUCAAGACUCCCAAAUUUGAAAAUUAUGAUGGACAUGGAGACCCCGUAGUCCACAUAAAAAGGUAUUGCAAUCAACUAAGAGGUGCGGGAGGAAAUAAAGAAUUACUCAUGGCUUAUUUUGGAGAAAGUCUUACGGGUGUAUCUUCCGAAUGGUUUAUGGGUCAAGACACAUCCUACUGGUAUGUCUGGGAUUACAUGGCCCAAGCCUUUGUCAAAUAGCUCCAAUAUAACAUUGACAUCGCCCCAGACCGUAAUUCCCUUUCAAAUCUGAAGAAGAAACCAACUAAAAGUUUCAGGGAUUAUGCCAUUAAAUGGAGAGAACAAGCAGCUAGAGUUAAGCCACCCAUGGAUGACUACGAGCUAAUCACUAUCUUCCUUCAGGCUCAAGAUCCUGAUUACUUUCUAAACAUGAUGACCGCAGUUGGCAAAUCAUUCUUGGAAGUAAUCAACAUGGAAGAAAUGGUAGAGAAUGGCCUGAAGACAGGCAAAAUUAUAAGUCAAGCAGCUCUCAAAGAGGCAACUCAGGCUGUCCAAAUUGAAUAUGGUAAUUUUAGUGGCACGAAUGAGAAGGUUGAAGAAAUUAUGAUGACACCAGGGUCGAGAAGAGGUCCUAGAAGAACAUAUCGAAGGUAUGACCAACCUCGUUUGUUUUUUGACGAUUCCCAUGAGAACCCACAAUACUCUGCUGCUCCACCCCAGUAUAUUGUCCAACCACCAAGACACCCUAGAAGGCGAGUGUCAUCACCGCAAAAUCUCCAGAGGCCUCCACAAAAUUUUCAAGCUAGGGGUAUGUAGGUAAACAAAGGUUGAAAGAUAAUUUUACACCGAUAGUGUUACAUCUCGCGUUUUCGUACAUUAAAAUUUCGUUUUCAGUUAACCGACGUAGACUAGGGGAUGAGAUCAUCUUGAUGUUAAUGUACUUACGUUAUUUAUAUAAAUCGAUAAAUAAGUGUUAUGAAGGAUAAAGGGGUACACUGAUUAAAAAACAUGAGUUUUGUUGAAAAUGGACAAUUUAAAAUAAAAUACGGGUCAAGCGAUAAUACUCGAUAAUUAUAAACUAGUACCAUGCGAGGUACCAUAUGAUCACGGUAGUAUAAUGUAUAAAGAAUACAUGAAGUAUUUUAAAAAUAAAUAGAAUUUUAAGUAAUUUGUGAUAAUUUUUAAAUUAUACGGGUAAUUGAUUAAUUAUCGGGUAAUAGGACAUUCCCAGUUGACUAAUAAGCAGGCAAAAUUUAAUUAAAUAACCCCAAAGCCACGUGGCAUAAAGCCACGUGGCAUAAAGCCACAAUGGCUAAACAAUGACACAUAGGUCAUUAAAGCCAUGUGGCUAAAACCUUAUCCAAAUAAGACUUAGUGGAAAAACAUGAAACUAGAAUAAUUUUGUAUGUCUUAUCCUAAUGACUUGAUUUAAAAUGCAAAAGAAUAUCAUCUUGUCUUUGAAUCAGACAAGCAAACGGUAAAGAGAGACUUUCAUUCAUAAGGAAAUAAGCUUGAAGCAACAAAUCUUUAGCCAAGGAGUAACAAGCAGUAACGUUCUCAGAAGCAAGAACUUUGAAAUCAGAAAACGUUAGAGGCAAACACGAUUUCGUUCUAAUAUCAAAGAAUCCAGGUGUAAAUUUUGCAAAAACAGAUUCGUUCAAAUAAUUCAAGAAAAAUGUAUGUUUAGGCUAAGCUCUUCUUUCAUUUGGCAUGAUGUCAUUAUUACAUUCAUAUCCCGGAAUUUACGUAUAUUUUGCUAGUCUCGUAAAUUGCAUAUAUUUUUCUAGUGUUGUAAGUUAUAAUAUUCUCCUUAUCGGGACUUCAUAUUCAGUUGAGUAUUUCCUUCUUCCAGUCAAGAGAGCAGAGAAGUUUAUAUAUACAGUAUUAAAAGUAUUUUCAUUACCAUCGAGCUAUAAUCGAUGGGCAGGCCCCUGUUAGCUAACCACUGAUCAGAUGGUAAGUUAUAUGAUGAUCCUACUGUAGCCAAGCGCAUAUGAGCUACCCUAGUUGAUCGAGAUAUAAAGCCUAGUAUGGCCGAGCGCUUAUGAGUGAGCCUACUACGGCAGAGCAGAUAUUUAUGUAUACCGAGCCUUAUAGGGCCGGACAGCUAUUUUACUUACUAUGUUGAGAGAAUUGAGUCAGUAUCAACAGGUAAGCAUAUCUUCAGAUUAUCUUUGACUUCUAGCUACUUGCAGUUACUAUAUUAUCAGUUCAGUUUCAGCUUUCAGUAUAUUGCCUUACAUACUCAGUACAUUAUUUCGUACUGAUAUCCCUUUUUCGGGGGGCGCUGCAUUUCAUGCAUGCAGGUCAAACAGACAGACGAGUAGGACUCUUCAAUAAGUGUUACCCGAGUUCAGCUUGAUCGGUAAACUCCAUGCCUUUUGGAGUUUCCGGGUCUAGAGCCUUAUGUAUAUCUUGUAUAUAUACGUAUAUAUGUCAUGAGUAGGUCGGAUAGUUGUUCCGAUCACAAUAUAUCCAUUAGUAGAGGCUUGUAGACAUAUUAUGUCAGUUAGUGCAGUAUUGUGGGCUUGUAGGCCUUUUAGGUAUAUUUUAUUGGUUUGCCAGCUAUAGUAGUUAUGACGGCCUUGUCGGCCCAGCAUUAUAUUGAUGUUUAGUCAGUAUUUGCAAUUGUCUUGCAAUGUGGCCCAUGGCCAAAGUGUGACAUUAUAUGUUAAGAGUAGCUUAGUCGCAAGUUAGUACGCAAGGAUAGAUGAGGCACCGGGUGCCAUCUCGCCCCCCAGGUUCAGGGCGUGACAAAAGUGGUAUUAGAGUAGUUUUGUCCCAGGGAGUCUACAAGUUGUGUCUAGUAAAGUCUUGUUUAUGGGUGUGUCGUGCACCACACUUAUAAGUAGGAGGCUAUAGGGAAAUUAGAAUUGUCACUUUUUCUUCUUACUCUAGAUCGUGUGGUAGAGAUAACUUAUAAGAAUUCAAACUUCGAAAUUCUAUUUCAUUCAUAAUAAGACGAUAACUACAUCCGGAAAGAAGGUUGGAGAGAGAGAUAGUUGAGAAAGAGUUGAGUUAGAGGAAUUAGAUUUUUGUAUGAUGCCUACGAUAAGUAAAUGUGAGGUCUUUAGCAGAUCAUGGGUGUACUGAAAAGUGUAAGCUUCCUGAUAAGAAGCCUUAAGGAAAGAAUGCCUAUCCAUCUUUAUGGUGAAAAGACAACGAGAGAUUAAGAAGAUAAAUACAAGUUUCAACAAGUAGAAGAAGCAAGAUGAAGAAGGAUACGAGGCGCCCAGUUAAUGAAGGUUAGCAACGUUUAUAAUUGAGGUAGAGGAACAUGAGCUUUUUGAGAUAUAUUCAAUAGUAACAAAGGUAUAUACAAUUGGUUGCACCCAUUCUAGAAUGCCAUAUGGGGGUUAACAGAAGUAGUAUAAGAAGAUAUAAUGGAUGAAUUGUUUGCGUCAGUUGACAUUUUUGAAGGAUAUUACAAAUGUUCUAAUAGAUCUCUUUAUGAGACACCAAGAUGGUGCACUAUAAAAUAGUGCAGCCAGAUAUGAAUACUACAAUGAUAUGCACUAUAAGCCUUGAAGGGAUAAAUAUUACCUUGGUGUGGCUUGCGACCCUAGUAAAGUGAGAAUGUUAAGCAACUUGAAGAGCCACUAGAUGGAGCAAAGGAAAGCUAAAAGCGAAAAAAUGUCGUAUUAAAGUUUUCACAAGAAAAGGGAUAUGCAAAAAUAUUAGUAGAGUAAUGAGAAGAGAGAUAAGGAAGCAUUAUGAAUAAGGUGUGACACGUGGAUGAAAACGGUAGAGUGUUACAGAACCUAUAGUCAAAUGAAGGAAGAGAUGAAAGGUGAUUGGCCUUAAGACAACAAAAGAGUAUAGGCCAUAAGGUUAUAUCCUCAUUUCGAGAAAUAAGUUCGUGACUCCAACGCGACUAUCAGAGGAGAAAGUUAAUCCCCAGAGUAAUAGGAAUCAGUAUGGGCUGGUAAACAAGAUAAACUAAAUAUGAAUUAGGGACCGAAUGAUUGGAAAGUACUCGGCAUCAUGGUAAUUUUAGAUGUCGUUCCGGCGGUAAUAGAAUGGACCACAAAAGAAGAUUCAUGAGGAAUUCACAUAAUGGUCAUUCAGGAAGACGCUUCCCUAAAGCAAGCAAUGUUAGCAAAGUUAAGCUUAAGGGACUAUAUGUACCAGUUACAUUAUGUGUCACCCUCACGAGUAAGGAAAUUUGUCAUCCUUGGUACAGAAUGAUUGCCGCAAGGUAAGUAAGGAUCAUUGAUGUUGAGAAACGAUGCCAAAGAUGAAGAGGUAAAACAUCUAUAGGUAGAUCUUUGUGGCUUUAGCUUUUAGUAUGCCCCUAAAGGGGAAAUAUGGAGUGAUGUGGCAUUAAUUCAGAAUUAAGUGGUUCUAGUGACUAUGGAAUGGUAAAGGAAGAAUGCGAUAAAAAUGAGAAAAGGGAUGAGAUUGCACUUAUGCAAAUGGUACAGAUAUUCUACGAUUCCAAAACGUUAUGCAAACGCGACGUCAAUGAGAAGAACUAAGGGUUACUGCCCAAGAUGUCAUUGAUAAUCUAGUGCGACAUGUAAGUUAAGACCAAGGAAAUAACCCAAGAAAGAUUACGAGGAAUAUUGAUAUGAGAAUGGGCCAACAAGUAGUUAGUAAUUGGUUAGGAAGAUCCCAGUUAUGGAUAAACAGGAGGUUACAGACAAGUCAUCAGAUCGUGUAAGAUAAUCUUAGUAGAACCCAACAUGAAAAAUCCAGCCUCGAAGAAUAUCAUUAUAAUACUUGAGAGAUAUAUUCAAAUAAGAGUCAGGGUAGUUAAAGGUACCUUAUAAGUAUUAAAGUAUAAAAGAAAGUGCCACCGGGAAGAUAGUCAAAUAUUAGUUUUGAAGUAACCCUACAAGCACAAGGACACAGAGCUAAGAAAAUACAGAUAAUUAUAGGCAAGGAAGGACAUCAAAAAGUCCGUAAUAAUCUCACAUCUUUACAAGAGUCAAGGGUUCUCCCUAAGUACUACAACGAAAGACUAACUGAGGAAAUAAGGGAGAAGGCUUCAACUUAAGGACAAGGACCUAAAGAGGAAAUGGUCAUGUAACAACAGUCUCACAACAACAUUGUAAGCACUCUAAAGGAAAGUGGCACCUACUGUGGCUAAUGAACGGGAAGUAAGAAUUAAAAGUAAUAUUCGAGAUCAUAUGAGUUGUAUAAAAACUCUGGCAAAUGUGGGAACUAAAGAUAAGCUAAGUAUGGAUGUAACAAAGGGGCAGAAAGACUAGGAAAAGUAACAGCUUACGUUGAAAGAAAGCUAAGAUGGAACGAAAGAAUUAUUUGAUCAAUGAUCCAGAGUUAGUACGUUAUGGAUACACUCAAGAUUUUGGAGCAUUAUCCAUGCAGCAUAUUUGUUGACAAUCAUACAGCCAUAGAAAACUCUGGUAUAAGUUAAAAGAAAGAAUUGAGCCCGGGGCAUAGACAAAUGAUUGAAUUGUUAAAAGAUUAUAUCACGGAUAUUUCAUACCGCCCAUGAAAGACUAAGGUAAUAACUGAUACCAUGAGCCACGGAUGGGAAGAUAGCUUAAGCCUACGUAAAGGCUGAUCAGAAGGAAGAGGAAACUGAAGAAUUAUAUCACCUAAGUAAAUCAGGAGUAUGAUUAUUGGACCUAGAAAAAUUAUAAAAGUUGUGCUUGAGAACAUAACAGAAUCACUCUUAAUAUCAGCUGUUCAAGAGAAAUAACACAACAACCAUAAUAUAUAAUGGCUAUACAAUGAAUCCAGUUAGAAGAAGUACCAACCUCAUAAGAAGUCAGUACGAAGCUCCCAUCGGAUUGUGUAUGUACCAGAGGUGCAAGUAUUAUAAUAGAGCUUCAAGUUAUGGAUGUGAAUUACACCUAGGUGGAAGGAAGAUCGGAAAAGAGAUAGAAUAUACGAUGCAAAAUUUUAAGGUAAGUAAGGUAAAGGUGAACAACGUAUGAGAUACUUAAAGGCACAAGACCGUAAAUAGUCCAUAGUUCGGAUAAAAGGGGCAGAAGCAUGAGGAUUCAAUGUCCAGGAAUGAUAGAGGCAUCUUCACUGGCAUAUCUUCCAGCCUAUGGUUUCUGCAUAUCGAGAGGUCUAGUUAAGAGAGUAAAUAAGAGUUAGAGAUGAUAUGAUGUCUCGCUUGACGUUCUAGAAUAACACAAGGAAAUCUAUGAUACAAGCACAUUGAAAGGAGGUUGCGAAUAGUAUAAAUGGAUAUGGGUAAGUGGCAAACUAAAGUAUGGUAAAGCGACAAGGUUUUAGGAAGUUAGGAAUAAGGAUAAGAAAGGGAGAGUAAGAAGGCGACAAGAAUGGAUAAGUGCUCACGAUUAAACCUAUGAAAACAAGAAGAGCUUAUGGUUUCUCUAAGGUAUACAAAGCCAAGUAUAGCCUGAAUGAACUCAAAGGGGUCUAAGACUAAUGGCAUUUAGAAGAAAUGGAAUACUGCCCUGGUGGUAGAAUAAGGGUGUAGUUGUGAUGUAUAAAGAAUGACGUUUGGACCAUUGAUUAAGUAAUGAUUUGAAGAGGAUUUCACGAAUUGUACAAGUUUAAGAUUAAAAUACCCACGUAAGGUAAGUCACACCAGAAUGCUAUGAAAUACUGUUAUGGGAGUAUAGUAUCGCCCUAGGUGGAUCAGAAAAAUCAUUUCAAAGGUUCCACGAUCAACACAAGCCCUAGUGAUUGUAGAUCAAUAGUGAGGUGAAUCAACAAUGGAUGAACAAAAGUUACAAAGUAUGAGAUAAGAUUAGACCAUCAUUCUAAAGAGAAAUAGUAAUGAGGAAGCAUUAAAGGACUUAAAUUUAUACAUAUGGAAUGAGCAACGAGAGUAAGCUGGGAUUUGAUAGCAGACUUCAGCCACGAUAAAUUAAAGUAAAAGUUAUGGCGGUAAAUUUAUACGGAUGGUUAAACGAACCUAUGCGAUGAGAUAUAACAACAUUCGUGAAUUCAACCAAGUACCAAGCGAAGAACUUCAGUAUACUCAUAAAUGCCCAAAGGGACAUCUUAUCAAGAUCUACAUGUAAAGCCUAGAGAUUGGGAACACUUACAAGAUCAAAACUAUACAGGCUGCAUGAUGAAAGGUAGCAACAGUUACGAGAUUAAAGAUUCUGAAUACAAGUUGUGGUGUGAGAAGGAGGCCUAAGGGGGGAUGCCCUAGACUUUGGACCUAUUCACAGAACAGUUGCCUAGAUGGAAAGGAAAGUUCUAAAGUGUUCGGAAGAUAUAAGUUAAGAAAAUGAUAAGAGCAAUAGUCAAUAUUCGAGGACGAAUGUUUCUAAGGGGGGAAGGAUGUUACAUCUCACAUUUUCGUACGUUAAAAUUUCAUUUUCAGUUAACCGACGUAGACUCGGGAAUGAGAUCAUCUUGAUGUUAAUGUACUUACGUUAUUUAUAUCAAGCGAUAAAUAAGUGUUAUGAAGGAUAAAGGGGUACACGGAUUAAAAAAAUGAGUUUCGUUGAAAAUGGACAAUUUAAAAUAAAAUACGGGUCAAGCGAUAAAACACGAUAAUUAUAAACUAGUACCAUGCGAGGUACCAUAUGAUCACGGUAGUAUAAUGUAUAAACUAUAUAUAUAAAGUAUUUUAAAAAUAAAUAGAAUUUUAAGUAAUUUAUGAUAAUUUUUAAAUUAUGUGGGCAAUUGAUUAAUUACCGGGUAACAGGACAUUACCCAGUUGACUAAUAAGCAGGCAAAAUUUAAUUAAAUAACCCCAAAGCUACAUGGAAUGAAGCCACAAUGGCUAAACAAUGACUCAUAGGUCAUUAAAGUCAUGUGGCUAAAACCUUAUCCAAAUAAGACUUAGUGGAAAAACAUGAAACUAGGAUAAUUUUGUAUGUCUUAUCCUAAAGACUUGAUUUAAAAUGCAAAAGAAUAUCAUCUUGUCUUUGAAUCAUACAAGCAAAUGUUAAAGAGAGGCAUUUCAUUCAUAAGCAGGAACGGUUCUCAGAAGCAGGAACUUUGAAAUCAGAAAACGUUAUAGGCAAACACGGUUUCGUUCUAAUAUCAAAGAAUCCAGGUGUAAAUUUUGCAAAUGCAGAUUCAUUCAAUUAAUUCAAGAAAAAUGUAUGUUAAGGCUAAGCUCUUCUUUUAUUUGGCAUGAUGUCGUUAUUACAUUCAUAUCCCAGAAUUUACGUAUAUUUUGCUAGUUUCGCAAAUUGCGUAUAUUUUUCUAGUAUUAUAAGUUGUAAUAUUCUCCUUAUCGGGACUUCAUAUUCAGUUAAAUAUUUCCUUCAUCCAGUCAAGAGAGCAUAGAAGUUUAUAUAUACAGUAUUAAAAGUAUUUUCACUAACAUCGAGCUAUAAUCGAUAGGCAGGCCCCUGUUGGACAACCUAUGAUUAGAUGGUAAGUUAUAUGAUGAUCCUACUGUGGUCGAGCACAUAUGAGCUAGCCCAGUUGGUCGAGAUACAGAGCCUAGUAUGGCCGAGCGCUUAUGAGCGAGCCUAAUACGGCAGAGCAGAUAUAUAUAUGUAUACCGAGCCUUAUAGGGUCGGACAGCUAUUUUACUUACUAUAUUGAGAGAAUUGAGUCAGUAUUAGCAUGUAAGCAUAUCUUCAGAUUAUCUUUGACUUCUAGCUACUUGUAGUUAUUAUAUUAUCAGUUCAGUUUCAGCUUUCAGUAUAUUGCCUUACAUACUCAGUACAUUAUUUCAUACUGACGUCCCUUUUCUGGGGGCGCUGCAUUUUAUGCAUGCAGGUCAGACAGACAGACGAGUAGGCCUCUUCAAUAAGUGUUGCCCGAGUUCAACUUGAUCGGUAAGCUCCAUGCGGAGUUUCCGGGUCUAGAGCCUUAUGUAUAUCUUGUAUAUAUACGUAUAUAUGUCAUGAGUAGGUUGGAGACCCGUUCCGAUCACAGUAUAUCCAUAAGUAGAGGCUUGUAGAUAUAUCCUGUCAGUUAGUGCAGUAUUGUGGGCUUGUAGGCCUUUUAGGCCAAAGUGUGACAUUAUAUGUUCAGAGUCCCUUAGUCGCAAGUUAGUACGCAAGGAUAGAAGAGGCACCGGGUGCUGGUAUAGCCCCACAGGUUCGGGGCGUGACAAAAGUGGAGAGUCCUAUGCAAGCUUGUUUGAGAAAUUAAAGCACUAUGACAUGAUUGCACAUAUUCCUCCGUAUCAUGUUGACCCACGUGCAAGAAGCUUUGACCCUUCUAAAAGGUGUGAAUACCAUUCCAAUUCCUAGGGGCACAAUGUCGAAAGCUAUCGGGAUUUAAAAAGAGAAAUAGAAAGAAUGAUUCAAGAAGUUGUGAUCCAGGACAGUGACACCCAGAACAUCGCACAUAAUCCUUUACCUACACAUGAUAAUGGGGAGGAUGCAUAGUGACAGGGAGUAUGAGAAUCCUCUUGGAAACUUGCUUACUGAAGUUAAUGAUAUUGAAAUUAGUAAAGGUCCCAAUAAUUUUGAUAUGCAACCCAGUGGUUAAGAUGUAGAGCUCUGUAAUUAGAAAGACACUCCUUUCUUGGCUAGCUAGGGAAGAGUUUUGGUGGUUUAUUUUGUUGUCAUUUCUGUUGUCCGGGUUAUUUCAGGGUUGUAAUCCGGAUAUUGUCUUAUGGCUAAACCCUUCUUUUUCUUAUUUUGCCUAGUUCGUUUAGUGGUAGUAACUCAUCUAGUGUUAUCUUAGAUUAUUCCAGGGUUGUAACCCAUGUCCAUUUUGCUUGUUUUAUUUUGACCCUUUUCACCAUCUGUCGAAUGCAAUCUCUUAUUUUUUGUUAGUUCUAGUCAGUUUUUGCUUACGUCACUUUUCCUUUUAUAGUUCUUUUCAUGCUGACUCUAGUGACAUAACAUGCACACAUAAUUCUCAGCCUAAUCUUGAAAAUUAUUCUAAUCAUGAACUAAUGACACAGUUUUGAAUAUGAUAAAAUGAGGCAUUUGAGGAAACAAGUAAAGAUUCACGCAUUCUAAGAUAACUUGAAGCUUGAAUUGAGUGAAACUAUGGCAGUUAGUUUGGGAAAUCAAGAGGUUUAUAAGACCAUACAAUAAGGAAAUGUCUCUCAAGCACUUUGAGGAAAAUCAGUCAAUGCUGAAAUGCAUUCUUUCACAUCAAUAUAAGGUUGUGUCAAGUCUGCUUCGAACUAGAAAGGAUCAUUCAUUGGGAUAAAGGUAUUGCCCAUCGGCACUUUGUGUUUGUGUUGAUGUCAUCAAUAGAUACUGUGUAUGAUUUCUUUGCUUAUAUUCAAUUGCAUGUUUGUACUUGCCAUUUUAAAGUUUGGUAUGACGAAGGUAUUUUAUUCUGCUACUCAAACACUUUUAUCUUUUGAUACCCCUUUUGAGCCUUAAUUUGUUUUGUUCCAUACCCCUCUUUUGGAAUCAGAAGUAGAGUUAGGAACUAGAAAAGAAAAAGAAAAGAGGAAAAGAAGAAAAUGAAAAAAAAAAGAUAAAAAAAGGAAUAAAAAGAAAGAAAAGGAAGAGGAAAAAAAACUUUGUCUUUGAACUACGUUCGACCUGAUUCUUGCCACCUCAAGAUACGUAGGCAACCUUGCGGUUCGGUCACACCAAAAAAAAUAUUUCAUAAUCCCCAAAGUCAAGAGCGGGACAGUUUUUCUUAAAAAUCCCAUCAAAGCAAAAAUCCAAACAAAAAACAAAAAUCACAAAAAAAAUAUUCCCCAAACUCUAAGAAAUUGGAGCAGAAGUUUUAAUUUGGCCAAUAGACUAGAUUUCAAAAGUUGUAAUUUUGAACCCUUCCAUCUUAAAUUAUUUUAAGCCUUCAUGCCACCCUUUCUUUCCGACCCUUUCCAAAGCCUACAUUACGGUCCAAAAAAGACCUUCCGACCAAUCUUCGAGAAUGCCAAAUCAAGUGUGUGGUAAAAAUAUAAUCUUCUUAUAUCAUGGGUAAUACAUCGUUCUCAGCACAAAGAGAGAAAAUGAUAAAAUGAGAGAGUCUUAUUGGUGAAAUCCUUCACAGGCACCAUAAAGCGGCAGUGAGUUGAGAGAAAGAACAAAAUGAGAGAGGCUUGAUGGAGAAAACCCUUCGGGCACUCCAAGUCGAAUAAGGACCGUGAAUCAUAUAGGAUAAUCGGAGCAUUGAAGCCAAGUUUCAUGGCUUAGAGAUACAACAAGAGUCAAACAUUAGACUUUCUUGACAUAUUAGGCUGCUUAAUCCAAAAUGCAUGUCAUGGUCAUUGGAGUUGGUGUCCACAUUUGAUAAGUUUCUACUUGGUAAUUCUCUUGUUAGAUGUCAUCUCUUUCCAUUGUCCCCUUUCUCUAUUCCUCUUGAUCAGUUCAAGUCUUCUUUUUGAGUAUGUUUGGUCAAAACAAGUGAGAAAUGACUUCAAAAUUUACUACCAGCUUUCCAAUUGCACAGAGCGGAAUUGGGCUAACACAUCAAAGCGGCAUAAGUCAGAAAAGAAUAAUAUGCGCACUAAUUUGAUAACAAUUGGCGUGCUUUGGGAUUCGUGUGAAAUACAAAGGUUCUAUAUAUGUCAAUCCAUCAGCACAAUGCAACAGAUAGAGAGUAUUGGGUUUAAAUGGAUCAGAGGUAUUUUCUGUGAUAAGGGUGAGAGAGAGAGUACUUAGUCAAUAAGCAAUCAAGGUCUUUCAAAUUGAAAUCAAAGUUAUCAUGGCAUGUGAAGGAGUAAUUGCCCUCGUAGUCAAGGCCACAAACUAACCACCGAAUUUCAAACUCACAAGUUUUCUUUGUUUGAUACAGGAAUAAAGUAGUGCAAGAAAAGUGGUUCAAAAAAAAAGACAAAAGAAGAGAAGAAAAGAGCUGACAGAAGGAAGUUUCUCAAAUCUUUUCUUUAUUUGUCUUGCUAGUGUACAUAAAUCUUGUCAUUGAUCGUCAUACUUUCUCAUAGGAUAGAAAUCUUAGUCUGAUAAAUUUUUAUCCUAAGAUAAAACCCCUAGUCUGAUGAAGUUUCUCCUAGGAUCAAAAUCUUAGUCUGAUGAAUCUUUCUCCUAUGAUAAGAAGACCUAGUCUGAUGAAGUUUCUCCUAGGAUCAAAAUCUUAAUGUGAUGAAUCUUUCUCCUAAGAUAAAAAGCCCUAGUCUGAUGAAUCUUUCUCCUAGGAUAAACGUCUUAGUCUGAUGAAUUUUCUCCUACGAUCAAAAUCUGAGGUUGAUGAAUUUUUCUCCUUAGAUAGAAAACCUAGUUUGAUGAAUUUUCUCCUAGGAUCGACGUCUUAGUCUGAUUAAUCUUUCUCCUAAAAUAAGAAACCCAGUCUGAUAAAUUUUCUCCUAUGAUCAAAAUCUUAGUCUGAUAAAUUUUUUUCCUAAGAUAGAAAACCUAGUCAUAUGAAUUUUCUCCUAGGAUCGAUGCCUUAGUCUGAUGAAUCUUUCUCCUAAGAUAAGAAGACCUAGUCUGAUGAAGUUUCUCCUAGGAUCAAAAUCUUAGUCUGAUGAAUUUUUCUCCUAAGAUUAAAACCUAGUCUGAUGAAUUUUCUCCUAGGAUAAUAAAUUUUUUUUUUUAAAAAAGGGGUAGUCUGGAUUCGAAAAAAAAUGUCAAUUUUUAGUUUUCUUAAGUUAUUAAUCUUUAGUUUUCUUGAAAUCAGGGGUCCUGCCUGGAGAAUAGGGUCAAUUUUUACUUUAGUCGAGCUUGGUUUUCCGCAAGCUCAAUCUUAAAUCUAGGAGUCGUACUUCCUAUUCUGGGUCAUUCAGGUUUUAUUCUUAGCAGACACACUUGCUAGUCAAACAUUCUGGGUUUUAUUCACAGGAGACGCACAUCCCAGUCAAGUCUUUAGUUUUUCUCUCAUCACUGCAUCAAUAACAUAAGUGAUUUACGGUUCUACUAACAACUCACAAAUCUUCCUAGUGCAAACUGGGGCAACAAAUUCUGUUUGUUUUAUUGUAUUGAUUGCAGGCACCCACCUGGAGAAUAAGGGAAUUCGUUUCAAAAUUGUUUCAUGCUUUAAGUUGGUUGCAGGCGCCCACCUGGAGAAUGAGGGAAGUCAUUUCAGAAUUCAAUUCAAGUUAGAAGUAGUAGAAGCUCGCAACAAGAGUGCAAGUCAACAGUCCUAGAUGACCAACAAAAGUAGUCUCAAUCCAACAAAAAAAUAAUAAAAGAAUGAAAGUGAAUCUAAAAUGCAGAAGCAGAAAAAAGAUGUGAACUACCCAAGACGUGGUUGAAGUCACGAGCGCUACAUGUCCGGUCUUGAUCCGAAAAAGUUGAAGAAGAAUGAACUAGCACCUGCAGCUAGCGAGCGUUAAGGUUCAAAUCUAAAGUCUGCAGGAAGAACCAUUCAAGACUCAAGAUCAAGCUUUAGAAGGCUUAAAGAUAGGAACUUUGUAACUCAUAGCUGACAGGCUUAGUUAGUCUUUUUCAUUUUUUGAUUUUGAUGUAACAACAGGACAGCGGACCAAAACCUCGACGGAACGUCACUUCAAUCGACUCUCCACCUCGGCAUACUCCAUCAUUGUUCCCACUAUCGAACUACACGUGCCCUGAUUCCUUUAUAGCCAAGGAUAUGUAGGCAGCUCAGAUACCAGGGCUCGAUCACAUUUUGUCUCGUCAAGCCUGAUUCCUUUUAGUUUUUUUCGUCUCUCUAAAUAAGGGUCGGGUCAAAAAACCUGUCUCAUCGUUCUUUGUCUGAAAACUCUUCGUGUUUCCAGUCAAAGAGGAGCAGCUAUAGACAUGUAAUUUUUUACCCUCCCCAAGAUUUUACACAUUUUAGCAUUUAAAUAUUUAGUUUAGAUCUAAUAUCACUAGUUUAACUAGAUUUGACUCGUUUACUUUAUUUUUAUCACACUAUUCUACUAGGAUUUUGAUUUUUAUAGAAUCUUGAAAAAAUACCAAAAUAGUUUUCAAUAUAAUAUUGUUUUCUUAAUUAAUUAGGAUUAGUUUUAUAUUCUUAUAAUAUAAAUUUUAUAUUAUUAUUAGAAAGAAGAGUGAGUUUUGGGUUGGUUUAUCAAUUUUUAAUCUUUGAGCCCAAUUUUGAAGCCCAACAAGACCUAACCCACUACCCCUUCUUCUUUAACCCUUACACCUUAACCUUUAUUCAUCAUCUACACACUACCAAAACCCUAGAACCCUAGACAACACUCUAGCCGUCAUCCUCAAUAGACCUAAGACUCCCCACCAUCGUUCCUCUUCUUCAUCUUAAGAAGAAAUCCCCAGACAUGGCUUCUUCUUCUUCUAACCCUUUAACAUCCCUAAAACCCCUAGAGAGCCAUCAGCCAUGGACCCUUAGGAACGAUCCUCUAACUCCCGCGUCGUUCACCUUGAACAUUCCCUCUCAAAGGACCAGCGACUCCAAAUCCUCGUCGCACCAACCUGCCGCCAUCAACAAGAACACCAGCAACAACCGUCAUUCUUCUCAAACCCGCCGAAAAUCCGUCGGCAGACACCCACAACAACCAGCUACCUGCCACUUCCCUUCCUUUCUCUAUCUCCAUCUUUAAGCACACCCCAGAAUCCAGUAGCGAUCAUCAACCUAAUACAAAAAAGAACAACUGCCCUAACUCCUCUCAAGGACCACGCCGGCAGACCCCCCUUCAGCUAAGAAGUGCCAUUUUCUCCUUCUUCUUCAACGAACUCUAGCAGCGUCCACCACACUUACACACAGAGCUGUGAACACAGAUCUGAAACAAGAAUAUAUAUAUAUAUAUAUAUAUAUAUAUAUAUAUAUAUAUAUNNNN
RNAcentral lists this long non-coding RNA (45242 nucleotides) under Nicotiana tabacum (common tobacco). RNAcentral's name for it is "long non-coding RNA (NTAB_LNC011185)". Lineage: Eukaryota; Viridiplantae; Streptophyta; Magnoliopsida; Solanales; Solanaceae. The record is from RNAcentral.